GAACCCACGAACCCCCACCUCUGCCACCAGCUACUUCCCAAAUGGAACGUGAUGGAACUGGACGCUGCAGCCACUCCAUCGGUGAGAAUUUGAGGAAACAAAUCUUGAAGAUUUAUUGAUAUCCACAAGACAGGAAAGACUGUAUCCAGAGUUCAACCACAUGCCAAACAACAAAUACCAGCAAAUAAUCAAUGUAAGUUCAUUUCCUGGCAGUUCACAUUCUUAUUUAACUCUAAAACUUGCAUACAAGAACACAAAUUGCAUAUAAUUAAUAUUGACACAAGCCUAGUUGUCUUUUGAAAUUUUAAGAGUCAAUAGGGCACUCUUUGCUGUAAGAUUCAAGACAUAUCAGUCUUUUGAAAUUUUCUUUUUGUUAAAGUCCUUCAAUCGAAAAAAGUUCUAAUGAACGGAGAAAGUAUCCUGUGAAGUGAAAGUAACGAGAAGUGUGACUAUUAAGAAACUUAUUAGACCUCUACCAUAUAUCAGACUUGGAAUUGUUCCUUGAGAGUUUUCAAUUUACUAAGAUUUAGAACUAACUUACUUUAAAAUCUCAAACGAUAUACAAUCAGAGUCUCCAAAAGCACCACUGAUCGAUACAAAUUGAAUAGAAGUCAAAUUUCAGUUUGUUUUUUCCUCUCUACAUUUCACCUCCUUUUACGCAAGAGAAACUGUAAUAUACCUGAUAUGAAGAGCUAAUGUUAUGCCAAUAGAAGACUUGUUUAUACUUGAAGAGAAUGAGUAGUUAUCUUAUUCAAGAACCAUACCACUUAACAACUUCCAUUAUACUCUGUAAUGAAGAGUACUACAUUCGAGGAUUAAGUGAUAAACUCUUUAUUGAAGGAUACUCGUGCAAAACAAACAAAACGUUUGAAUAAUUUGAGAUAUAUUGCAACGGACUAACUUUACAUAGGUACGUGAGCAAUAAAAAAAAAACAAGGAAUGUAGGAGAUUAACAAUAUGUUGGUUCAAAUAAGCAGAAUAGAGAAUCGUUGAACCUAAUGGACAGACACGCCUCAAACAGGUCAACCCGUUGAAGUACUCCUUCUCAAAGGAGACUGCUACAAUAGCAUCCCUGUUAAACAGUACAACAUUUUCAUGAGAAUAAUACAGUGUGCUUGAGCAUAUUUCUAUCCAAGUUUAACACUUUGCUGGUACGGGAGUAAUAAAGGUGCACAUACAUUGUGGUUUAGCUGCAACUCAUGAACAAAACAAAUGUGGUGGUGGAACAUAAAAUUGUGUCAUGAGAAAAGAGUACUGCAAAAAAGCACAUUCAUCUAACAAGUCUAAAUGAAAAUUUACCUAAGGCAAUUGUCUGCCGCUCAUGGAUUUUGACUUGGUUUACCACAACUACGUUCUAGCAUGACCUUGGAACUAGUAAUCUAUAAGGGAAAAAAAAAUUCAUGAAUAAAUCAUAUCUUAAAAGUAAUAUAGAAGAACAACAACAAUUUGAUUCAAGUGGACUAGCAGAAAGCUGAAAGCAUAGAUAAGAUGCAAUUGACUAAUAAUUUUGCAUUUUAUUAUAGCAAAAUAAUUGCAGGAAAUAGUAUUAAAUUACAUACAGAACUUCUUUUCUAGUACUCGUUGAAAAUAAUAAAUAAAAAUAUGGAAAGAGAAACAGAGACUUACGCAAGUCCUGAAUUAUGCUUCCAUCUACUUUAACUUUUGGAAUUUGGGAAAUGUUGGACCACUGGGAGUUUGGGCCUCUCCGAUUGUUGCAACUCUCUUCUAACUUUGGGCAGCCUUUAAUUUUCAGGUACCAUAAUUUAGUGAGGUGUCAAAUGGCAUCUCUAGAUGGCAAAUGCUCUAGUUUUUCGCAGUUACAUAAACUCAACUCUUCCAAAGAAACAAGGUUGCCAAGCGCAUCCGACACAACUUCUAACAAUGGACAAUCACGGAUCUCCACAUACCGUAAUUUGAGCAUGACAUCUGAGAAGUCCAGAUGUUUUAGCCGUUUGUAGCUCUCUAGACGUAAUGUUUCAAGAGAAGUAAGGUUGUCAAGUCUAUGAGGAAGAUCCUCGAUUCCGAAAUCACAUAUAUAGAUAUGUGUUAGGGAAGAGAGCUACAUAAGCUGAUGGGGCAGAGAAUCCCAACGCGUACGUCCGUACACAUCCAAUGUACGAAGGAACGAUAGCUGCUGAAUGCCAUUAAAAAUCAAUUGGAAUGCCUCAAAAUCCACCAUCUCUGAGAAAUGACCAAUAUGCAAUAUCCUUACCCAGUGAGACGAUGAAGGUCCCCUGCGGGUAUAAUGAAUUUGGGACAAUUUGAUAAAUCCAAACAUAAAAGUGAAGGCAUUUCCCACACGUGUAAAGGCAAGGAGAGUAAGUUGUUACAGCACAUGAACACCAAAGAUUCCAGAGACCGACAAUGCUCUAGCAUUCCACUUGGUAAACUGGUCAAUCCAUAACAAUAAUAUAACUCAAGACUUUGGAGGGAAGUCAAAUAAUUCUCUCCACUGGGAACAUGGAAAGAACUGAAAUUGGGGCACAAAUGUAUUUGUAAGCUCUUAAGAGAAUGGAGAUUGUACAAGCUUUAUGGCAAUUCACGAAAGUCUCUGCAGCUUGAGACCGUUAGGUUUUGAAGAGAAACGUUGUUGCGUAGCAUCUCAUCAGGAAAACAAGUGAGCUCAUUCAUAGCAUGGACACUGAGAUCUACGAGAGAUGUCAGGUUGCUGCACAAGUUCAACAAUGGCAUUUCACUGUCAACUCUAUCAAUACUUAAUUCAUAGAGGAUUUCAAAUUGACUUGGAGUACUUUUUAACAAUGGACAUUUACUAAUGCUCAACUUCUCAAGCCUAGGAAACAUUCUUACUCCAUCUUCAUCUCCCUUUCACUCAAUAAGGCUACACAUAUCCUCCAAUACUAGUUUUCUCAGUGACGGGAACACUUGGAUAUUGCUGCUUGAUCCAAUAUUGCUACCAUAAAAUGUAGGCCCGAUGCAUUCCACCUCAUGGAAUCCUAACAGCUCAAGAUGCCGAAACAAUUUCAGUUGGCCAAGCAAUGGAUUUCUUUGCAUCUUUUGCAACCACUUAAUUUCAACCUGACCAAAUUUGGUAGCAAAUCUUCAUGGAACCAUGAAGGAAAUUUAGUCCCUAAAUAGUCCACUACUGCUAAGGUUUUCAAGUUAGGAUGGGGUUGAAGACCAUCCAAGACAUACUCAUCAUUGGUCUUACUUCCUUCUGGUUUGUCAUGGAACCACAAAUAUGCCAGCUUGUAGAUAUUCGAUUUCUCUUGCAAAUGUGUUGUUUGAGCUUCUUCUCUAUCACCUACCAAUUGUAGACACAAUUAUUGAUGCCUUAAAGUCCAAUUUGAAAGGUGUCACUGUCCUCACUUCUGCAGUAGAGAACAAGGAGGAUGAAAUAUUGGGUGAGAAUAAUUCCAACCAACCUUGUGAGAAUUCUGUUUCGAGUGGACAGAAAAAUAAAGAUGAUAAUUUGUGUGAGCGUAUCACAUCCCUUGAACUAUCAAUGAUGGAAGUUGUUGCUUUCAUACGAGAUGAGAAAUUGAGGAGAGCUUAAAAGAACAAGAAAAAUGAAGGUAGACUAAUUUAUAUACUAUUUGUGUGAAAUAAUUUAUUUGUAAGAAUGCUAAGCCACUGAUCUUGCAGCAGUUAAUGAAGACUAUACAGCACCAACAGUUGAUAAAGAUGGUGUUGCAGUUGAUGAUGAUGAAAUACUUCCAUUAGCAAUAGUCGAUGAAGAUCUUGUUGCAGUUGAUGAAUACUUUGCAAAAGAAGUUAAUGAACAAGAGGAGGAGAAGAUGGCAUAAAAAGAUAAAGAAAGAGAAGGAGAAAAUGGAAGAGAACGAAAAAGAAAUUGAAGAGAAGUUGGAAGGAAGAAACAAGAAGAAAAAAAAGAGGAGCAUAUCGAAGAGAACAAAGAAGAAAAAAAAGAAGAGGAGCAGAUCAAAGAGAAGGAAGAAGAACAAAAAGAAGAGGAGAAGAUCGAAGAGAACAAAGAACAAGAAAAAAAGAGGAGCAGAUCGAAUUGCAGGAAGAAGAAAAAGAACAGGAGAAGCUGGAAGAGAAAGUAGAUGAAGGCGGUGAUAAAAAUUCCGUAGACGUGAUGUGUAUUGUUAUGAAGCUCAAUAGUGAGCUAAAUGGUGAUGAGUAAGGUAUUUGUGAUAUUGGUUUAUUAAGACAAUUGGUUUUUGAAGUUAGUUUAAGACAAUUGGUUUUUGAAAUGGUUGGUUUUUGUGUUAAUGAUAAGACAAUUAGUUUUUAAGAUAAUUAGUUUUUGGUGGUUGAAUACUAAGACAAUUGGUUUUUGAAGUGGGUACAUAAUUAAGACAGUUGGUUUUUUAAAUGGUUGAUUUUUGGUGGUUGAUGAUUAAGACAGUUGGAUCAUGCAAAUGUUAGUUUUGUUUUGAUGGAUAUUGUUCCCAAUUAUGAACUUUAAAUUGUAUAUAUAAUGCAUUGUCUUACCAAUUCCAAAAAGACUUUAUUUUAUUAAUAGAUUGUACUACUACAUGAGUAAAAGAUAUAAGAUUGUACUACUGUAUCCCUGUUACACAUUUCCAAAAAGCAACGACUAACAACAAACCAUACAAUAUAAUUUUUAGGUCUUUCUCUUUUUCUUCAGCCAAUAUCAACUUUUGUUUUAGUUGAUCCCUAUCUAUUUCGGUGUCUUUUAGCAAUCCUUUAAAGUGAUCUCUCUGCUCUUCGGCCUCUUUGAAUAAACUCAAUAGAAAAUUCCUAUUUUCUUCGGAGUUUCGAAGCCUUUCUAAGAUUUGAAAUUUGGUAACGCUUUGAAAGUUUGAUGUCUCGAGUUCCGGACUCAAUCUUGAUGGGUUGCUCGUUGAUGAAUCAUUUUCAAGCCACUUAAAAAAAGAGCAUGCACCAAUUGCACAGUUAAAGCGUUCGUAUCGGUGUGUGACGUCCUCAACAUAGCUAAAUUACCACAACGACAAACGUAAGAUUUUUUUGCAUUGGAUGUUUGAGAUGCUUGAGACAUAAUAAAAAGAGAUGUUUAAGUAUUAUAAAAUAGAAUAAGAAUAUGGAAGAGUUCAUGAAUCCUUCUUUUUAUACACUAAAAAAUAGAAAAUGUGUCCUGCUCCACUUCUCAAAACCAAGAUCAUGCUCAAGGACGACCGCUGCAGCGGGGCAUUUGUUCUUGAAUUCUACAAAAUGAUUGUCAAACUCCUCCAAAGAAUAAGCCUUUGUCGCAUUGUAGUAAAGAUAAAGGUAAUCUCCACAAUGAUGAUUUACGUCGAGAUUUUCACCAAGGUGUCUUAUAUAAUAUCCGUGGUGAGCAUGAUUAUAAACGUUCACAAUAUUGUUGGCGAUACUCUUGUGUCUGUCGGGGAUAAAACACAAAUCUGGUUCAUCGACCACAAUCUCCUUCAAUUUCUCAAAGAAGAAUGUCCAAGAUGCAUCAUUCUCUUUGUCCACGACACAAAAGGCAAUUGGAUAAACAUGAUUCUCCGUAUCUUGUGCAACAACGCUCAAUAACACGCCCUCGUAUUUACCAUGUAAAUGAGUGCCAUCAACCGCAAUUACAUUUCUCAUGUGGGCAAAUCCCUUAAUGCAAGCACCAAAGGAUAAGAAACAAUACAUGAACCUAUGACUAUCCUCGUUACCAUGAGACAAUAACUAGAAUCAACAUUAAGUGUCUCGAACAUGUAGGAAAAAGCUGGUAAGCAUGAAUAUCCGUUCUCCGUUGUCCCUCGGACCAUUUCCUUAGCAACCACACCACCCUUCCAAUAUUUUCAAUAGCUUGGACUACAAAGAAAAGAAUUAAACAUAUUUCUUUGAAUCUCUUUAACAUUUGGCAUCACGAUACAUAUUUACACAAAGUGAAACAAUGACUUUGAUUGAAAUUUUUCUAUGGCUACUGUUGGCAUGUUUAACGCCACAACUAUGUUCGCCAAUGUACUUAUAGUUAUAGAUACGAAAUCUAUCCGAACACUCAUAUUUCCUCGCUCGCAACAUCCAUGAACAAUUGCGAGAUACACAUUUCACCUUUAAGUAUUUAGUACAACUCUUCACAGUAGCAAAAUCAAAAGACUUUGUUGCCGCCGCUUCGGAUAAUAACAAUUGCAACUCAUUCUUCUUAUUGAAAGUUUGGUUUAUACAUAAAUUAGUUCCAUCAAAGAAGGAAUGGUUGGAUUGUGAUCCCAAUUCCUUUGUACCUGCAUUUCUUCACAACAUUCGAGUUCGGGAUCUUCCGCAUCUACUGGCUGAUUUUCCACAUUAGUUGGCUCAUCAUGUAUAUUUAUUGAAUGAUCACCCAAAUUCUCAUUUGAAUUAUCACCCAAGCUCUCCUUUGAAUGAUCACAUAAUCUUUCUUUUCCAAUCGAAUCAUUGUCGCCGUAAAUGAAUUUGUUGGUUUAAUUAGAGGCCUCACAUUGACGUUUAUCCUCAAUGUAGGUCUAGAGCCAUCAAUACCAAUAUCUAGCAUGUAUAAGCUCACGUGCCUAUCAUUUUUUAUGAAUGUGGGAUGUAUUUUCCCCCUCCCAUUCAUUUCAUAGCUAAUCACCAAGUCAUUUGGCUCGCAAGUUAACUCACCGGCCUCAAUUACGCUUGCAAUCAUAUCGUCAUAUGAACCAUUGCGACGCAACGCAAUGGGCACUGUCGUCUUACUAAAAGAUUUCCAAUUCUAGCUUUUAGGAGUCUCCUCCCAUACUUCCAUAUAAUCACCACAAGCAACAACAAAUUCAGCUACUGUCAUUAUAGACUACAAAGAUAGAUACUAGAUUACAGUAUCAGUCGUUAACGAUCGAUGAAGUACGACAUCCGUACAAAAACGCGAUUGAAUGAGAUCGUGCUUCAAAAUGCAGCUCCUGCAAUAGCGAAACAGAUUUUUAAUGCUUUUAAACUACUAAAAUGAAUCUAUAAUGAGUUAUCAAGUGUUUAAUAUGGAAGAUUUCUCAAAUUUCUAAAAUGGCGGGAAAAUCAUUUGGAAGCUUUGCUUUUGAAAGAAAAUGGAGUAAACAUGAAUAUGGAGUAGGAGAUGAUGAUGAUUUUACCUUGGAAAUUGAUAUUUUGGCCGGAAAACUCAUCGGAAUCGUCAGUUUCGACAACAGCAAAACGAGUUGCUCUUCUUUCCCGUUUGGCUUUUAUCUUUUUUUCUAAUAUAAUUUUUAACAAAUGCAAAUAUAUAUUAUUCCAAAUUAGUUGGAAAAGAAGGGGGGACCAAAGUGGAGAUAUGAAAACUUAGGGAGGUCUUUUGUAUGAGCCAAUUAAGGCAUGUGGAUGAUGUCAUUAAUAGUGGGUAUACCACAAAUUAUUCAAGACUUUUGUCUUAAUGUUCAAUUAAGUUUGGAGAGUGGCUAUUUUGCCAACUCUCCCAAGUUUGAGUCCCUUUUUCCUUUAAUUUUAUAUUCAUUUAUUUAAGUAGUUUUUUGUUUUAUUUGUACAAGUAGUUUUAUUUUAGAUUUAUUUGUACAAAUAGUUUUAUUUUAGAUUUUAUUUGUACAAAUAGUUUUAUUUUAUUUUAUUUGUAUGAGUAGUUUUCUUUUAGGGGGUGGGUGGUGGGUGGUCGAGGGUAGGGGUGAAAAAAUAAAAUUUUGAAGUUGAAAAUAUUUUUUAAAAACAAACUUAAAUUUUUUUUUUNNNNNNNNNNNNNNNNNNNNNNNNNNNNNNNNNNNNNNNNNNNNNNNNNNNNNNNNNNNNNNNNNNNNNNNNNNNNNNNNNNNNNNNNNNNNNNNNNNNNNNNNNNNNNNNNNNNNNNNNNNNNNNNNNNNNNNNNNNNNNNNNNNNNNNNNNNNNNNNNNNNNNNNNNNNNNNNNNNNNNNNNNNNNNNNNNNNNNNNNNNNNNNNNNNNNNNNNNNNNNNNNNNNNNNNNNNNNNNNNNNNNNNNNNNNNNNNNNNNNNNNNNNNNNNNNNNNNNNNNNNNNNNNNNNNNNNNNNNNNNNNNNNNNNNNNNNNNNNNNNNNNNNNNNNNNNNNNNNNNNNNNNNNNNNNNNNNNNNNNNNNNNNNNNNNNNNNNNNNNNNNNNNNNNNNNNNNNNNNNNNNNNNNNNNNNNNNNNNNNNNNNNNNNNNNNNNNNNNNNNNNNNNNNNNNNNNNNNNNNNNNNNNNNNNNNNNNNNNNNNNNNNNNNNNNNNNNNNNNNNNNNNNNNNNNNNNNNNNNNNNNNNNNNNNNNNNNNNNNNNNNNNNNNNNNNNNNNNNNNNNNNNNNNNNNNNNNNNNNNNNNNNNNNNNNNNNNNNNNNNNNNNNNNNNNNNNNNNNNNNNNNNNNNNNNNNNNNNNNNNNNNNNNNNNNNNNNNNNNNNNNNNNNNNNNNNNNNNNNNNNNNNNNNNNNNNNNNNNNNNNNNNNNNNNNNNNNNNNNNNNNNNNNNNNNNNNNNNNNNNNNNNNNNNNNNNNNNNNNNNNNNNNNNNNNNNNNNNNNNNNNNNNNNNNNNNNNNNNNNNNNNNNNNNNNNNNNNNNNNNNNNNNNNNNNNNNNNNNNNNNNNNNNNNNNNNNNNNNNNNNNNNNNNNNNNNNNNNNNNNNNNNNNNNNNNNNNNNNNNNNNNNNNNNNNNNNNNNNNNNNNNNNNNNNNNNNNNNNNNNNNNNNNNNNNNNNNNNNNNNNNNNNNNNNNNNNNNNNNNNNNNNNNNNNNNNNNNNNNNNNNNNNNNNNNNNNNNNNNNNNNNNNNNNNNNNNNNNNNNNNNNNNNNNNNNNNNNNNNNNNNNNNNNNNNNNNNCCCCCUCCCCAAAAAAAAAUUUAAGUUUGUUUUUAAAAAAUAUUUUCAAUUUCAAAAAUUAUUUUCUACUCUAGUAAAAAUAAAAGAUAUUUCUCAAAAAUAUUUUUCAUUCAUAAAUCAAACACAAAAUCUUUUUCGAAAAAUAUUUUCUACUCACCAACCAAACAUGAAAAAAUAAAUCAAAAAUCUACUUGUUUUCUCGGAAACAUUUUCCAAGAAGACAUUGAAAAUAGGCAUUCGAAGGACAGACGCUCCAAGAAGAUAUUCAACAUUCAUUACUUUUCUUCAAUGAAAGUGUACAUUGUAUAUUGUUGAGGGAAGAUCCUUAUUUGUCAUGUCAUCUUGACACACUAUAAUAGGAAAACAACUCCUAAUGUCUCACGAAAAUUGACUUAAGAAAAGCAUAUGAGAUGAUCAGUUGGGAGUUCAUCAGUGAAGCUCUGAAAGGGCAUGUAUUUCUAUACUUUAGGAACUUGGUGAUGACAUGUCAUAUCUCUUAACCAAGUUCACUAUUAACGUAAACGGAGAUGGAUACCGAUACUUUGAAGGGAGGAGAGGCCUCAGGCAGCGAGUCCCUAUGUCACCUCAGGCAGAGUACCUCUCUAGAGUCUUGUAGAAAAUGAGUGAUUCACCAAAUUUCCAAUUUCAUCUAAUGUGCAAAGGAAAAAAGUUGACACAUCUUAUAUUUGCUGAUAAUGUUACGGUGUUCUGUAAGGGAAAUAUGAGUUAACAGGAUUGGUAGUUCAGAUGAGACAAGGAAAGUGGCCCUAGUCUCUUAGGAGAAGUUGUAUGUGCCAAGGAAAUUAGGAGGUCUGAACAUAAAAAGUUGUGAUUUCAUUGGAAAACUGGUCUGGUAAUUGGCAAUGAAGAAAGAUCUGUCAUGGAUCAAAUAGGUGAAUGUCCUGUAUAUGAAAAGGUGAUCAGCACUUCUGGAACCAUAUAACACCAGUGGACUGCAAUUGGUAUUGGAGGAAGUUAAAUGCAUAAAUGGUAUCAAAAUGGUAGAUACUGUCUAACUCCGAAUGGUAACUACUCCAAUUAUAAAUGCUUUAAUAGUAAGAUCACCAAAGUUAUUGAUAUCUCAUCUAGUGAGGAGUUGCGUUUCAGUAACCCUGUGGCUAGCCAAUCAAAGGAGGUACUUACAAAAGAAAGAAUGACAAGAAUGAAGAUAUUAAUCUACAUAGUGCAAUCUGGUCUAUCUGAAAGAAUAAUGAGCAAUGCGAUAUGUUAUACAAAGACACAAAAAUGCAGUCCUGUACGAAAUUGGAAUAACACACGUAGCUUGUGACUUUUGAAUACAUAUUGUUUGGAUUUAAACAAUGCAAAUGGUAGGCCCUGUCUUUUUUGUUUAUACUUGCGAACAAAAGCCAAGAGAAAUUUCAAGAGGAAAAGCAGAUGUACAUUACAGAAGCUAACAACUAGGCAAUGAAGCAGCAGCUAAGUAUAAAAGUUCAAAAUGUUUGUUGGAAAAAUGAACUCUAUUUGUACCAAAAGGCACGUAUGCUGUGAAAGAAAGGCGCCUCUGCUGUCAAAUCUUAGUCAUACAAGUAAAUAGUAUUUCCACUCCAAUUUCCGCCACAUGCAAUUUCCCUUGCCAAUCAUGACACUCAAACACAUCUCUAACACAAGUAGCAUUUCGAAGGUCCAUGCUGGAGUUUCAAACAUGAAUCUGAAACACGGGAAAUGGUAAAAAGUUAGUUUUGGCACACGUUUCCUCCUUGGAGAAUGGAGAAGCGGAUCAUUACAAGUAACCACUAAAAAAGGACAGAGGAAAACCUGUUUAAGAUGAACAUAUACUGCUAAGGACAUUUUAAGAGCCAAUGGGUCACCCUUUGCAAAAAUAUUCAUGACAACUAUCUUUGUUGAAGUCCUUCAUUUGCGGAAGUUUUAAUGAACGGAGAAAUUGUCCUGUGAGGUGAAAGUAACGAGAAGUGUUUCAUAUAUUCAUAAAAGUUGUACUGUCUUAAGCAUGAAAAUAAAACCAGAACUGCAGAAGACAUAAAGAUUAUUCUUUUAUGAGUCUAUUAAGAAACUUAUAUAGAUUUCUACCAUAUAUGAGACUUGGUAUUGUUCCUUGAGAGUUAUCAAUACUUACAUGGAGAAUAGACCCCGUGUAGCUUCUCAUUGAGCACCCUAUACGCUUUUGAGUUUUUGAUGUUUCAUAUGUAGACUGUAGUUCCCCGAAAAUACUCAUGAAAGUGUCCCAUAAUGAGUCUACAGUUGAAGAUUGUUCUUCAUACAAAAUAACAGUGGUGGUUCCUCUGUGAAACACGACAAGUCCCGUUAAACAUUAAAAUUAUUUCAUGAGAGAAAAGGAAAGUAAAAAAAAGAAACUUUACAAACUUGUUAUAGCAUUCCUCUAACAACUAAAUAAAAAUACCUAACAUGAUUCUGCCCAUGGAUUUUGACUAGAUAUACCACAACGACGUUCUACUAUGUCCUUGUACCUAGUAACCUAUGAGCAGAAAUCAUAAAUUUUCAUGAUUAAACUUUUUUUUAAGGAAGGUAAUGUUGUAUUCAUCAGCAUAGACCUCCGAAAAUUGGUUUCCAACAAAAAGAAAGAUAGAAACAAGUAGAUUACAAAGUGCCUAUAAAUUAUAAAUGAAAAUUUACCUAACGUAAUUGCCUGCUGCUCAUACGAUUUGGCUUGAUUUACCACAGAGACGUUUUGAACCAGCUACCUAUAAGGAAAAGAAACAUAAUUUUUAGAAUAACAGCAAUUCAGUUCAAGUGGACAAGCAGAAUCCAGCAUAGCAACAGAUGCAAUUGAUUUAAUCUAACUUUUUUUUUUUAUGUCAAAAUAAUUUCAAGAAAAAUUAUUACAUUACUUACCAAACUUCUUUUUUGGAACUCGUGGAAAAUAAUAUUCUAAUUAAAAAUGCGAGCGACUCAGUAAGUGAAAGAGAAACCGAGACUUACGGUUGUCCUUCUCCGCCCACCUAAUUCAAUAUUUGAAAUAUGGGAAAUUUUGGACCACUGGGAGUAGUUGGUGAAACUUUCUUCUAACUUUGGGCAGCCUUUAAUUCCCAUGUUCCAUAAUUUAGUGAGGCGUCGCAUGGCAUCUCGGGACGGUAGAUGCUCUAGUUUUUCGCAGUCAUGUAAAUAUAAUUCUUCCAAAGAAACAAGGUUGCCGAGCCCAUCCGACAGAGCUUCUAACAAUGGACAAUCACUUAUACACAGAAGCCGUAAUUUGGGCAUGGCAUCUGAGAAGUUCAGAUGUUGUAGCUGUUUGCACCUCACUAGAGUCAAACUUUCAAGAGAAGUAAGGUUGUCAAGUCUAGGAGGAAGAGCCUCAAUUCCAAAAUCAGCUAUUGUGAUCUCUCUUAGGUCAGAUAGUUGCAUAAUCUGAUAGGGCAGAGAAUCCCAGUGCCCACGUCCGUACACCUCCAGAUCACGAAGGGACAACAGCUGCUGAAUGCCAUUAAAAAUCAAUUGGAAUGCAUCAAAAUCCACCAUCUCUGAGAAAGGACCAAUUCCCAAUCUCAAUAACCCGGUGAGAUGGUGAAGGCCCACUUUGGGUACACUAAUCAAUUUGGGACAUUCUGUUAUAUCCAAAAAUGAAAAUGAAGGCAUUUCCCACACAUGUAAAGGGAAUGAAACCAAGUUGUUACAGCAGCUGACACACAAAAACUCUAGAGACCGGCAUUGAUCUAGCAUUCCAAUUGGUAAACUGAUCAAUCCAUUACAAUUGUAUAAGAAAAAGAAUUCGAGGGAAGUCAAAUAGUUGUCUCCAUUGGGAACAGGAAGAGAACUGAAAUUGGUGCAGUUGUAAAUGUCUAAUCUCUUAAGAGAAUGGAGAUUGUACAAGCUUUGUGGCAAUUCACGAAACUCUCCGCAGUUGAAAAUCGUUAUCUGUUGAAGAGAAACGUUGUUACGUAGUAUCUCAUCUGGAAGACAAGUGAGCUCUUUCAUAUCAUAGACACUAAGCUUUACGAGAGAUGUCAAGUUGCUGCACAAGUUCAACAAUGGCAUUUCACUGUCAACUCCUCUAAUUUCUAAUUGACGGAGGAUUUCAAAUUGAUUCGGAAUACUUUUUAACAAUGGACAGUCUGUAAUCCGCAACUUCUCAAGCCUGGGAGACAUUCUUACUCCAACUUCAUCUCCCUUCCACUCAAUAAGGCUACGCAUAUCCUCCAAUACUAGUUCUUUCAAUGAUGGGAACACUUGGAUAAUGCUGUUUGAUCCAAUAUUUCUAAUCUCAACACCAUCUAAAGCAGGUCCAAUGCAUUCCAACUCAUGGAAUCCUAUCAGCUCAAGAUGCCGAAGGAAUUUCAGUUGGCCAAGGGAUGGAAUUUCUUUGCACCUUUUGCUACCACUUAAUUUCAACUUGACCAAAUUUGGUAGAGACUCUUCACUGAACCAUGAAGGAAAUUUAGUCCCUAAAUAGUCCACUACUGCUAAGGUUUUCAAGUUAGGAUGCGGUUGAAGACCAUCCAACACAUGCUCAUCAUUGAUCUCACAGCCUUCUGAUUCAUCAUGGGACCAUAAAUAUGCCAGCUUGCAGAUAUUUGGUUUAUCGUGUAAAUAUGCUGUUCGAGCCUCUUCUUUAUCACAGACCAAUUGGAGACCAUUGAUUGUCAAUUCACCUCUUAGGUUUUUCAAAUGACCUAAUUCUUCUAUUUGACGACCUUUCUCUAAACCUACCUUGAAAAACUUGAGGGUUUGAAGACUAGUCAAUUGCCCCAUAUUAAGUGGAAUCUGAAAAUGUUCAUUGUGAAGACACCAUCCUCCCCAAUGCCCACUUGUUUCGUCAACAGAAGUGUAAUAUAUGUGUCUCAAACUUAUCAUAUUUCUCAUCUCAUAUGGAAGUUUCUGGAGUGAAAAGCAGUUGAUGACUCUAAAUGUUUGCAAAUUAUAGAGCUCGCAAAUGGAGUUGGGCAAGGCUGUGAUCUCAGUGUUCGAGAGAUCAAGAUAUCUCAAGUAUAUCAGCUUCCCCAUUUUGGCUGACAACUCCUUGAUUCCUGAACUGGACAAAUCUAAAACUCUCAAGAACUUAAAGUUCAACAGCAUAUCUUUAGACGUAUAAUUGCUUCUCCAAAACAGUGUGCACAAACGUUCUGGCUCAUAUAUCUUAUCUAUUUGAUCCGUUGGUGACUCACAUCCAAAGUAUCGAACUUGAGAAAGUUUUUCUCCAUUGUCUCCCUUCGGAUCAAAUAGUCUAGAUUUUAAGAUAUCUCCAGCCAAAUCAUGCACAAGAUCGUGCAUCUUAUAGUGUGUUAUAGUGUUGUGUUCAUCUAACACAACAUCUUGUAGCAAGGAAUUCUGCAACAAGAUUUGAAAAAACCUGUGCCCAACGUCUUCCAUCACAGGGAUCUCUUGACUUGGACGAAGAAACCCUUCUGCCAUCCAGAGUUGGAUUAGUUGGUCCUUUUCAAACAUAUAAUCUUUUGGAAACAUUGCAAAGUAAGCAAAGCAUUUUUUCAGAUGUGGAGAUGGUAGAUAAUCAUAGCUGAGUUUUAGGAUUUUCUUUAUGCUAUUUUCUCCAUUAUCAUCUUCACCUGCAACAAGGAGGCUGCCAUCAAGAAUUGCUUGCCAUUCAUGUUUUUCUUUGUUGUGUAAGAGCCCUCCCAACGCACUUGCAGCCAACGGUAGACCUUGGCACAUUUUAACAAUCUUGUUGCCCAUGCUCGCUAAUUCCUCUGGAACCCUGCCAUCAACAAAUGCUUUUUGUUUGAAAAUAGACCAACAAUGAUCUUCUGUUAACUUCCCCAAGAUAUGAAGAUCUGUUGCUACUGUGGAUGCCACCCGCUUCAUACGAGUAGUCACAAGAAUGCAGUUUCCUCUGGAUGUAUUUAUUCCUCUCAAGGUGUCAACGAACUCAUGCCAUGAUGUAGAGUCAACACACCACAAAUCAUCCAGGACUAGCAAAUAUUUUUUUCCUCUCAAUUCAUCUUGUAGCUUCUUGACUAUUAUAUCUCUCCUUUCAACCUCAAUUCUCCUCUCUAUCAAUGAUUCGAGGAUUUGUUCAAGAAAGCACUUCGUUUCAGACAUUUCAGGUAGACACAACCAAAUUCUCUUUUCAAAGAUUUGCUGGAUGUGUUCAUCAUUGUAAAUCCUCUUAGCCACAGUUGUUUUCCCUAAACCUCCCAUACCUACUAUGGGAAUGGUGGACAGAACAAUAUCCUCCUCUCUCAUGUUCAAAAUCUUCUCCUUUAUCUCAGCAACAUCCAAAUCUCUACCAACAAUAUCAGAAGCAACUACUAAGGAAUCUGUUUCUCGAAUUGGUAGUAUUUUCCGAAAAGGAACCAUGAGUGAUUGUAGACCGAGGUCUUUGGCUACCUUAUUGAUAGCCGUCAACUCUUUAUUGAUGUUGUUGAUUUUUUGAGACAUUUUUCUCUUAAAAGCAGUAUGAGAAAAGAAACCACUGACCUUUUUCAAUGGGCUCCUCACCACUUUUGUUUUGAGAGAUUCAUAUCUGAAUCGAUCAAACACAUUUUCAGCAUCUUCAGCAACUCUCUCAAGCCUGUUGAGCCAUUGUUCGAUAGACUGUUGUUUCUCAACUUGUGGUGUUUCAACAUCAUGAAUGAAAGCUUGGAUUAAGGAUACAUUUUGUGUCAACAUUUCGAGAUCUUUGUUGAAAUCCCUUGAGCUGUUGACCUCCUCGAUAGUGAGAGAAAUCAACUUUUCAAGCAAAACUUGAACAGUAGCACCAAUUACAGGAUCGGCCAUUGUUGUGUUUGCUCCUUCACAAAGUCUUCUUCCUCUGCACCAAAGUCUUCUCAAAGUAAGUCUUCUUUUGGUAGUUGUUUGUAGAGUACUCAAAGGAAGACAAUAAUUCAUAUACAAUCAUUCAAACAGUAAUAAAAAAAAAAAAUACAUGUGGAUGAAACCAAGUUUGAGUCUCUUUUUCCUUUUAUAUUCAUUUAUUUAAGUAGUUUUUUGUUUUAUUUGUACAAGUAGUUCUAUUUUACAUUUUACUAGAGAACUUAUUCCGUGCUUCGCGUGUAUGAAUUUUUGAUAUUAGAUUUCUUUUUAAAUAUUUUAAAUUUUAAUCAAUUAUAUUAUUAGUAAAGUUUCUAUGAUUUUUUAGCACUUAAAAAUUCAGAGCCUUUCCAUAAAACUUAUAUAAUAUUUUAAUCAAUUAUAUUAUUAGUACAUUUUCUAUGAUUUUCAGCACUUGAAAAUUCAGAGCCUCUUUAUAAAACUUGUAUAGUGUAUAAUCUAUAUAAGUGAAAUGAUAUUUUUAUUUUUGUUAAAAGAAUGUAAAGAAAGGAUAGAAGUUCAAGAAAAAUCAAAUUCUUUCUUCAAGUAUAUGUAUUACUAAAUUUUAAAACAUGAAUAUUUCUUUUUAAUCUUUUAACUUAAUCUCCUCAAAUACUUUCCCACAUAAUUACGCAUUAUCUUUUGAAAAUUGUCCAAUCAUAUUCCUUUUUCGUCUUCUAACUUCACAAUAAUAAAGAUAAAUAACCAAAAUAUAUUUUCAAAGUCUCAGCAUAAAAUGUAAGAAAAGCUAUUACAGAAAUCACGCAUAAAAACAUGUUAUAAAAUAUGAAGAAGUAUAAACAUUAUUACCCAUUAAUUAUCCCAUUUAAUUUGAGAAUAUGCAAGUAAUUAAUAUAGUCAGGAAUAGGAAAAACAAAUCAUUAGUAUAGUGUUACUAUAAAAUUCAGUAAAACAUUAUAAAUUAUUUUUUUUAAUAUUAGAAUCGCAAUACAGAAUUUUAAAAACGGCUCUUACACAUAUAAAUGAUUAAAAAUAAUCAUAUUUAUGAUGGGGAAUGCAACUCUAGGUGCAAUCCAUUUAUAAAAUGAACUUUUGAGGUUUGAUAAAGAGAAAUCAUGAAAUAAUUAAAAUAAAUAAAUAAUUGUAUUAUUUUUAUGUUCUUAAUUAUUAAAGUAUUUUAAAAAAUGAAAUUAAUAUACAAUUUUUUGAGCUUUUGUUGAUAUUCAUUUUCACAAGCCAUAGCCAUCAUUCAAUAGCCUUCAUCUUCUUUCAAGUCAAUCCAAAGCAUCAAACAUAAUAAGCAUUGAAAACGUGAAUACUUAAAAUGCUAAUGUUCUCCUUCCAAUAAAGUUUUACAAUAUCUAUGUUUAUAUUAUUACAAUAUAAAAAACCAAAUAAUAUUAUGAAUAUGAGUAUUAAUUAUUUGAGCAAAAAAGAUUAUCCUAAAGGUGUAGUAAUGGGGUAAUGAGAAAAGAUCCAAAAAAAGAAAGAAGAGAAAAGACAAUAAUCAACAUGGGUUGUGGUGCACUGAUGAGAGUGUUACCCUUAACCAGAGGUCUCGGAUUCGAGUCCUUGUAUGAAGAGAAUCCUGUUGUGAGCACCACCCUCGAAUGAGCCCUGCAGAGCGCGAUUUGGAUUUAAUCGAAGCUCUUAUGUGGGCUCCGAACACCCAGUGAAAAAAAAAAGAAGAGAAAAAACAAUUAAUGAAUACUAAUGAAAGGAAACAAUUGCUUAUUCAAAAAGAAAUUAAAUAAAGCACAAAAAAAAAGUAAAACAAACCUCACAAAGCCGCCACAAAGAAAUUCAAUAGGAAAUCCCACUAAAGCCUAAAUAAGGGUCAGGAAAAAGAAACAAAAGUUAACGAAGCUUACCAGUCAUCCGUCUCCAUUGACAUUUCAAAUUUCUUCGCCACAAGAUAUAUAUAUAAAAUUUGAAAAAUCAUCAUUAAUUUUCUUCAUUUAGUAAAAAAUAUAUAUAUAUAUAUUGAAAAUGAAAGGUUUUAAAACUGAAGCUUAAUUGGGUUAUUAUUCCAUUUUUAAAUGUCUAAUUAAUCUUUUAAAUUGAGUAAUGACUUUGAUUAGAACGGUUGCAAUGGAUGAAAACCGUUUUUUUUUUUUUAUCUUUAGACAUGAAUACACAUUAGAUUGAAUUACAAAUUAAAACUUAUUUAAUAGAAACAAUGAGGAAUUAAAGCUAUUUUUUUAGAAAAAACAAAAAAAAAAGCAGAAAAGAUAAAUAUGAAUUGUAGCUAUAGAGAUGUGCCAUAUCACCUUUUUAUUAUCUAACUUUAUAUUAUACAUAGAUUUAGAUUGAUACAUAGAUAUAGAUAGAUUGUAAAGAAAUUAAAUAAUAAAGAGAGAAGAUAUUAAAAAAAUGUUGUCAUUUUACGAUUAGAAGAAGGUAAAAAAUAAAGUUAAGUUGUUUCUACUUAGUAGGCGUUUGGCCAUGCGAUACCAUAUCACGAUAUGGUAUCGUGAGAUGGAAUCCGCGUUUGGACAUGCGAUUUUACGCUGAUUCCAUCUCAUGAUUCCAUAUCAUGAGAGGUGAUACCAUAUUCUCCAAAAACCAUGAUAUGAUUUGAGAUAUUUUAAUACAAUAUUUGAUCCAUGAGUUUAUAUUUUGUUAAAACAACCCCACAUUUAUAUCUACUAACCAUUUGUUUCAUAUGUAAAUAAAAUUUAUAGUCACAUCAUUACUUUUUAAAAUUUAUUAUUCUCACCAAUAUAAAAUUUAUUAUUACUUUAAAUUUGGUGAAUAUAAAUGAUAAAGUAGAAAUUCAUUUGGUGAAUAUAAAUAAGAACGAAGGGAGUAACACUUUCUUUAUUUUUCAUAAUAAAAAAAACGUCUUAAUCUUAUGACUAAGCAUAAUAUUGAUAAAAGACAAUUUUCAUUGACGGUGCCGCACUUUCUUAAUCUUAGUAUUCGCAAAAUAUUUGUUCACAUGACUGAAGAAUAUCAAGUCCAAUUGAUUGAGGACUUGGGAAAAUUUGAUCAAUUAGUUAUUAAUAUUUAGUCAAGUGGACUAGUUAUAAUUUUUUGAUUAAAUUUUAUUAGAAGUGUUUUUUGAUUCAAACUUGUGGUAACUUUUUAAAAUUUCGUUAUUCAAUAAUAUUUAACUAUUGAUUUUUUCUUGUAAAUGGUUAGAAGUCAAUGAUGUUUGUUAAUUUUUAUCUUAGUGUAUUUAACUUCUAAGUUAAUAUUUACUCAUUAAUGUAUGUUUUUUUUCUACUUUAUAGGUUAUUUGUAAGAGUAGUUGAGAGAUAUGAGCAUAUCAAGUACAAUUUAUGUUCAAUUUUUUAAUUAAAUUAAAGUUAGUAUGAAACAAUUACUUUAAGUGAAGACAAAUAACUUCGUAAUAAUUUAUUAUGCGAUUUUAUAAUUUUUGUAUAUUUGAUAAGAUUGAAUAAACAAUUGUGACUAUUUUAAUAGUUUUACAACUUAUGGGAUUUUUAUGUUUAUGAGAAAAUAUACAAAAUAAAAAUUCCAUAUCGCAUGUCCAAACAAAUCUUCAAUUUCAUCUCAUAAUUCCAUAUCAUGAUACCAUAUCGCAUGGCCAAACGGACCCUAAGUAUCUAUAGGGAAUCAAAAAUAAUUGAAAAUUACUUACAAAAUUUAUGAUUUGUACAAGUAGUUUUAUUUUAUUUGUUUGAGUAAUUUUUUAAAUUUUAUAUAUGAAAAAAAGGGGCCAGUACAAUCAUGUAUUCUCCUCCACGUGUUGUAACAUUAGUGGAUUUCUUUCAACGUAGAGACAAAACCCAGCAAAAUAACAUCUACUCACAAAAGAUGAUGAAGAAGAGGGAAUGAAAGGGACAAAUCUCCUCUCUUCCUCUUCCUGAUGCGUGUACUAUACUUUUUCUUUUAUUUUAAAAAAAUUUCACAUAACACUUUACAAGGACAAAACAUUCAACAUUGAUAUAUUAAAUAAAUUAUUAAUAUUAAUUAAAGUUAAACAUUAAAGAAUCACUAUCCUAGAAAAAUAAUUUUUUUAUAUAAAAUAAAUUUAAACUGUUUUUUUUUUCUUAUCGCACUCCAUCAAUUUCUCUCACCGUNNNNNNNNNNNNNNNNNNNNNNCACAAUUUUCUCCCCCCUCCCCCCCCCCCCCCCCCACAUCAAUUUUUUAGAUUUUUUUAAAAAAAAAAUAUUUUACAAAAGUUUUUUAAAAAAUAUUAUAUUUUGUUAUAUAUAUAUAUAUAUAUAUAUAUGUGNNNNNNNNNNNNNNNNNNNNNNNNNNNNNNNNNNNNNNNNNNNNNNNNNNNNNNNNNNNNNNNNNNNNNNNNAUAAAUAAAUGAAUUAGGAGCAAAGGAUUAGACGGUGUGUGAUAGAAUUUUAUUUUUAAUUUAAAAAAUAAAAUAAAAAUGACAUAAAUUUUUUUUAGAAAAGAGUGACUGCUGAGUGGGGGUGGGGGAGGGGGGUGAAGUAUGAUUUUUUAAAAGAAAUUUUAAAAAAUUAAAGGAUAAUAGGAAGGGGGGACGGGGGGAAGGAGGUGGUGGAGUAGGGUGAAAAAAGUAUUUUUAAAUUUUAUUUUUUAAAAAAAUAAUUUCUAUUUUUGGGGAUAGUAAUACUUUAAUUUUUUACUAUAUUAAUAGUUUAUUUAAUUCUUGUCAUGGUGAAAUAUUUUAUCCAUGUAGCAAAGUUUUUUCAAAUACACACAUCAUUGGGGUGUGUUUUUCAAACUAAUAAAUGAUAGUUUAGAUAUAAAACUCACUCACAAUAGUUUAGGUAUGAAACACAAUAAAAGGAGAUAAUUUAAGUGUGUUUUUUAUACUUAUCUCAAUUACUAGUUUCUGGAUGUCUCAUGCAAAAUUUUAUAAAUUCGUUAGUACGAUUAAAAUUCAAUGAAAACUUGUAUGUAAUAAGUACUACAAUGCAACAAUCUCAAAUAAAUGUUAUGAUGAUAAAAAUUUUUAUAGAAAAUUAAUAGAGAAAAAAUAUAAGAAAUAAACAUAGAAGAAGAAAAAUAGCAUACGCAUCUUUCAUAAGACUUUAAGCAUAACAAUAUAUAAAUGGAAAAAGAAAUACAAAAUUGGUACAUAAUUUUUGGAGUUUUUGUCGACAUCUUCUCUCAUAUCCAAUCAAAUUUAAAAGUCUUCUCCAUCGACUCAAACUAAAGCACGAAUCAAAUAGAAAAAUCACUUGAUUUUCGUAAAGUGUAUAUAAUCAGACUAAGGUAGAUAUACCAUAUACUUUAGAUGUUGAUGGCUUCACUACUUUAACUAUAAAAUGAAAAGGAUAAUUUUGAAUGUGAGUUUCAUGAAACAGAAAAAAAUAAAUCUAUAUAGAUAAAAAUAGAGGAAUAUCAAAAGACAAUCUUAAAGUUUUAAAAUAAAUAUUUUAAGGUUAUGAAUAUGAAAAGCAUGAAAAUUAUGGAUAUUAAGCAUGACAAUUGAAUAGGUAAUUUGUAACAUCCGACAAUUUAAUAGAAAGAUGAAGAAGCUUGAAAUUUGAAAUAGUCAUUUUUUUGGAAAAAUAUAUGAUGUUUCAAAAAUCUGGAAAAUUUGGCUAAGUGUGGAAAUCAGUGAUUUUUGGCCAACUUUGAGCAGUCAUAACUUCCAGCUCACGAUGAGUUAGAAGUAGUUCCAGUCAUGGUUGUGAAGCUUGUGGAAUGAUCUUUCCAACGCCGCCGAGUUUGCUCAAUUCCAAGUUCGUAUGAGCGAGUUAUGGCCCUUUGAAAGUUGGGCAGUUGACAAGGAAAUCUGUCCGGGAAUCAUUAAGGGCAUUUUGGUCUUUUCCCUAGCUAUUUCUUUUGGGGAUGUAUUGUUGUGUUAGGCUGAUAUUUGGACCAUUUUGUUCCAUUUUAAGAGAUUGAAGGCUAGGGCUUGAGAAGAAGAAGAGAAGAAGAGAAGAAGAGGAGAAGAAGAAGAGGAGUAAUCGAGGAGAUCAACAAGUUUCCGACAAGAUCAUCGUGGAUUUUCGUCGGGGGUGAUCCCUACCAAGGUAUGUGAGCUUUUAGUGUUGGGUGAUCCUUCCCCCCACACACCUAGCCCUUUUUAUGUAUUGAGGAAGGAUUGGAUUCGUUGUUGAAGUUGUUGGAAUUGUUGUUAAGGUUGUUAGUUGUUGAAGUUGAUAGUUGUAUUGUUUGGUUGGUGUUUGAGUCGUAAUCUAUGGUAUGUUGAGGGAUUUUUUGUGCUUCCAAGUGUAUGGGCUGAAACCUUGUUUUGGGAGAGUUUAGAGCUAGAGAAAAGGAGGACCCCAAAAUAGUCAGCUUCUCAGAAGAAAUCGAUGGACUAGAGGUACGGUCCGUAGAUCGAUCUACGGACCGUCGAUCCCCUCCGUGGCUCCACACUUAGAAUCUUCAAAAAUUCAGGUACUGGAACCCACACAGUAUCACUCUACGGACCAAUAGUACGGUCCGUAGAUCAAUCUACGGACCGUCAAUGGACACCGUGGUUCCACACUUGGUCAGAUUUCCCUGAAUUGUCCUCAAUACCUUGCCUGUUGAUCUACGGUCAUGACCUACGGACCGUGAAUGGACCUACGGUCCGUAGAUCACCUCCGUCAAUGCCAUGUUUUUACAUUUCUAAUUGUACCUAUGUUUCUAAGUUGGUUCCAACACUUCAAGUUGCGUUUAAAUGUCUAGAACUCAUUCAUAACAAGUGAUUAUAUCCCUUGAAUCCAUAAUUCAAUUCAAGGAGAGUGAGAAGUCAAGUGAAGUUAGAAGUNNNNNNNNNNNNNNNNNNNNNNNNNNNNNNNNNNNNNNNNNNNNNNNNNNNNNNNNNNNNNNNNNNNNNNNNNNNNNNNNNNNNNNNNNNNNNNNNNNNNNNNNNNNNNNNNNNNNNNNNNNNNNNNNNNGUUGCAAGUCAAGUAAAGAGUUUAAAGUUGAGUUCAUUUCUCAAAGUUAUUAGGGAACUGUGUAUUCCCAAAGAAGUUUUUAAAGAAAUGUUUUUACAUUUAAACAAGGUUGGAAACUAAGAUUUCCAAAGGAGCCUUCGGGCCAGUUUUUAAGANNNNNNNNNNNNNNNNNNNNNNNNNNNNNNNNNNNNNNNNNNNNNNNNNNNNNNNNNNNNNNNNNNNNNNNNNNNNNNNNNNNNNNNNNNNNNNNNNNNNNNNNNNNNNNNNNNNNNNNNNNNNNNNNNNNNNNNNNNNNNNNNNNNNNNNNNNNNNNNNNNNNNNNNNNNNNNNNNNNNNNNNNNNNNNNNNNNNNNNNNNNNNNNNNNNNNNNNNNNNNNNNNNNNNNNNNNNNNNNNNNNNNNNNNNNNNNNNNNNNNNNNNNNNNNNNNNNNNNNNNNNNNNNNNNNNNNNNNNNNNNNNNNNNNNNNNNNNNNNNNNNNNNNNNNNNNNNNNNNNNNNNNNNNNNNNNNNNNNNNNNNNNNNNNNNNNNNNNNNNNNNNNNNNNNNNNNNNNNNNNNNNNNNNNNNNNNNNNNNNNNNNNNNNNNNNNNNNNNNNNNNNNNNNNNNNNNNNNNNNNNNNNNNNNNNNNNNNNNNNNNNNNNNNNNNNNNNNNNNNNNNNNNNNNNNNNNNNNNNNNNNNNNNNNNNNNNNNNNNNNNNNNNNNNNNNNNNNNNNNNNNNNNNNNNNNNNNNNNNNNNNNNNNNNNNNNNNNNNNNNNNUUAUGAUGCAGAUACAGGUACCCCGGAUCAGCAUCCUGCACGUCGUUGAUCCAGCUGAGCACUCCAGAGUCUGUGGUGAGCCUCCUUGCAUUCCGGAGGACUCAAUUAUUUUGUGUACUUAGUUUUGUUCUAUUAGGAUGUUGCGGGGUCUGUCCCCACAUCCAUCUCAGUACAUUAGAGGCUUUAUAAACAGUCAGACAGUCAGUCAGUCAGUAGUUUUGAGUCUCUCAUCCAUGUGUAUGUAUGUAUAUGUAAAUAUUCUAUUUUGAGACUCGAGUUGCCCUUUGGGCCAUAUUUUUAUCAGUUAAGUUGUUUAUGUCUUUGCAUGGCAUUGAGUUAUUCUGUUGAGUCAGGUUUUCCGCUGAGUUAAGAAAGUCAGGCCAAGGGUUCGCUUGGGGCCAACAAUGGUCUCCGAGUGCCGGUCCCGCCCAGGGUGUAGGUUCGGGGCGUGACAUAAUUAGAUAUAAGUUAUGGAGACAAAUAUUUAAAACACAUAAAGAAGAAAAAUAAUUAAAAAUUGUAGAUAAGAAAAAGAAGUGCAAAUAAUAUUUAAGUGAAACACCACUAAUAGUGGAAUUUCAAAGGGUCAAAAUAGAUAAAAGAGAACAACUUUAAGAAUAUUAAAUAUAUGCAUUGAAGCUCCAUUAAAAUCUAGAAGAGUAAACAAUCCUCCUUUGAGCACAUGAACUCUCCAUUUACUCAAUGUAGUAAUUGAUUAUCACUAAUAUUUAAACAUGUAAUUAAAUUUAUAAUAUUUUAAAUUAGUGUUGGCGUAAAAUGGUAUUUCAACUUUUAACUUUUUUUUGUUCCCACUUUUAGUAAUACUAGUUCUGAAAACGUGCGCUGCACGUUUAUACCAAAAUACUUCAUAUAAAUUUUGAUUGCAAAUAACAUAUUUUAUGCCCUUCAAAUCUAUUCAUAUUUCCUAAAAAAAAUCAUAAUUUUUACAAUAGAAAAUACACAUAUUUUCCUAAUAAAAAGAAUAUAUCCUUAAUUAUAAAAUUGACUAAAAGUGCAUACAGUAAAAAUAACUAACUAUUGUAUAAAUACAAUAUUCAAAUGAGGAUUCUAAAAUACCACAUACUAGGUUAAUGUAUACAAAGCAAUAAAACUUAAGCAUAGAGAUUUUCUCUUCUUUUUUUUUCAUUAAUUCCUUCUUUCGUUUAUUUGACUGUAGGAGACUUUAUUCUUUAUGACUUUGUAUAUGUGUAUCCUUCAUUGUAUUUUUCAGGUGUUAGAUGAAGGGAUUAUAGGAAAUUAAAAGGAAAAACAAUCACCAAGUGAUGAACGGGGGUAUAUAGAUUCAGAGGAUAAGUUAGGAUUUCCUUUCAAGUAUGAAAAUAAAUUAUGAAUCAAUGGAACUUAUUUCAAUAUUAACUUAUUUAAUCUCCUGUUAUUCCUCAAUAGCUCAAUGAUAGAUCGAUUGAUUGUUAACUAAUUGUUCUUACAUAGAUCCAAAUACUAUAUGGCACAAGGUGUUGUCUAGUACAUAGAGAUGGGUGAGGAGAUCAAACAAUAAUUAGAGUUGGUAACGAGCACAAACAGGAAUGUGUAUUAUAUGAGUUCUGAAUGCAUUAUUAAUUUAUUAAUUAAUGGUAUUGGUAGGUAAACAACAAUUAGUGCUUUAUUAAUUAAUGAUAGUGCUUCAUUCCUAUUGGAUGCUUUAGUAAAAACGACAUCGAUUUUAUUCUAGUUUUUGAUGUCUUAUUCCAUAAAUAUAUUUAAAAAAGACCCACGAUGUAGAUGUAGUCAUUUUCUUUAAAAUAAAAAAGAAACUCCUAUCAAAUGUGUGACACUAAUGAUGUAGGCAAAGAAAAAGAUUAACAACCAUUUAGGCUGGCAAUCAUUUUUGUCGAAUCACACAUCGGAAUAGCCCAAAUAGGAGAGAAACGUAAAAAAAAGAUGAAGUUACAAUUAAUACAUAACACAGAUUCACUAUACUUUUGAGCUCGAUGAUGGCUUAUCCCUAAAUGGCUCUGACUAAAUGGACAUGCAAUUUUGAUUUCUUAAAUUGUAUUUUUCUCCCUCGUAAACAUGAAAAAUUCACUAGUUGUGAAAAGCAUUAUAUUUCCCCAAUUCUUAUGUAAUCUUACCAAAUGAGCAAACCAUUAAUCAUAUACAAGAUAUUGGAAUAUCCUAAAAGUGAUGCAUUGAUGAAUCACACAUAUCUUCACGUUCCUUUUAAAAAUAAACUAGCUUUUGGCACGUGUGUUGUACGUGUGUCCCAUGUAAUUAUUUAUAGAUUUAUUUAAAUUAUGAAAACAUGUAUGUAAUGAGCAAUAAAAUGCAACAAUUAUAAAUAAUUCUUAAAAGUGUGGGGCAAGAAACACCAAUGAAGAUAGAAUUGUAAUGAGCAAUAAAUGUACUAAUACGAUGAUUUACUAUUCAAUAUUUAAUUUAUUAAAUAGUUUAUAGCAUUUAAAUUUAGUGUAGGGAUAGAAGUGUAAUGUAACUUUUGUCUAACAUUCUUCCACUUUUAGUAUUGUAAUGCUUUAUAGCCUCAUUUUUUAUGGUUUUUUUUCUUUGACCUUCUUUGUUUAGUAAUUAUAUGGUAUUUUGUUUGUAUAAACAAACAUUUAGUAUAAUAUUAUCAAGGAGAUUAAUUUGAAUAUAUUUCAUAAAAACAAAAAAAAAAAACUCAUCGAAAAAAAUUAUAAUGUGUUUUUUUUGUUAAAAAAAAAAAUGGUUUAUAUUAUUUUAUUUAUUUUUUCAUUUAAAAAUAACUACUCUACUGUUGACAAAAUAUAUCAACAUCCAAAAAUAGCGACCGAAGUGCAAAAAAUGUCACAUAAUAAACAUUCACAAAAAUGACCAAAAAAACAAGCAUAAUAUUAAUAAAGAAUAAAAGAAAAGGAGUAAUUUUCCAUUUGCUGCUCAAGAAAGCGAGAGGCGCAAGGUGAAAGAGAGGAUGCACAUUUUCAAAAUAAGACCUCUUGCACGGUGAGUCUCUUUUAGAGACACCAAAUAGCUCCGGAAGUGUUCAUGCAAAUAAAAAGAGGGUAAAAAAAAAGUUUGUAAGACGAAUCGACCUUAAACUAUAUCGUAUAAAAGAAACAUAAAAUCAAGUUAAGUCGUAGGACGAAUAUACUGUCCAAAACACGAAGGCAUGCAAAUGCCGAACGGAGCUCAAAGCAAACUACUACAAUGUAUUUAAAGUGCAAAAAAAAUAACACUCAAGUCCCCUCAUAUUUAAGUUACAAAGGUAUUAUACAUAUUAUCACUUUAAAUCGAGAAUAGAAACAUUCUCUAAAUGAUUCAACUAGCUGGAAAGACAUAGACUUAAAAACUAGUAUUUAAAUCAAGAGAAAAGCUUCAAACAAUACGCCUACAAUUAUUUAAAAAAGCACAAAACACCUGCACAAAACUUCAUACUAAGUAAAAACAAUAAUAACCUACUUUAAACAAGUUUCUACAUUAGAAAACAUGAGCUGCACAUUUCUCCUCAUACAAAGGCACCACAUGAACAGUGACAAGCUGAUUUCAAGUGAAGAUUUAAUCAUAAAAAAACGAAACGAUUUCUCAAAUAAAUGACGGCUGAAAUGUGAAAGAAAAUAUAGCUUCAGAUCUCGCACGAGAACCAAGUAUAUAUUAUAGUCACAUACACAGAGCUAAUUAGUAAGUAACGCUAAUCGCUGUGAUCUUCUAAAGAUAAAAGAAUUACACUAUAUAGUGGCGGAGUCAGGAUUAACAUUAAGGGGUGUCAAAAUACAAAGUACUAAGUACACAUAAAAAUCAAUAAAAUAAAUUUUAUUAAUGAUUAAAUACAAAAUAUGAACUUAUAAUUGAUUUAAUAAAUGCAAAACUUGAAAUAAGGUGAAAACAAUCGAUUAAUUAAGAAAAGAGGUGUAAGAAGUGAUAAUAGUAAUUUCGAUAAUAGAACAUAUAAUUUUAGUAGUAACUAUAGAAAUAUAACCACGACGAUAAUAAUAUUAAUAAUAAAUAGUCGUAGCAGUUAGAAUAGUUGUGAAAAAGAUAAUUUUAUACAUUAUUAAUUUGGAAGCUCGAAAACAAUGAAUUAGAGGAAAGGAGGGUCAAAAUUGAGCGUCAACCGUAAUUAUUUGGUAUUUUCUUUGUAUAAACAAAUAUUUAGUAUAAUAUUAUCAAGGAGAUAAAUUUGAAUACAUUUCAUUAAAAAAAUCUCAUCCAAAAAAAUUAUAAUGUGUUUUUUAAAAAAAAAUAAAAAAUAUAUGGUUUGUAUUACCAGAAGACGGCAUUCUAAGGCUAUAUAAAGCCCUUAUCCAAGAAAUGAGCUAUCUUGCUUAGCAUACCUCACCCAAAGCUAUUUGAAGUAAGGGAUUCACCUGCUUGCCUUAGACAGAGCUUUGUAUAGCCUAGCGCUUCGCGCCUUCACUUAUGAACUAGAACCAUCCCACAAAUCAUCUUUCAAAACCUGACUUGAAACUCUUUCUCGCCUAACUAAGCGUCAGUAACGUAACUGGAAAAAUUACAGAAAUCCCACCUUUUAGUUUACUUUUUACCAUUAUCCCCUAUAAGUUUUACAAAUCUCCAAAAUCCCUCAUUUUCGCGCAUCAGAUUAGUGUAUCAUGUAUAAAAUGUAAUGUAUCUUACUUAAUGAUUAAUGUAUCUCGCGCAUCAGAUUAAUGUAUCAACGCUUAUAUUAUUGUAUCCGUUUGAGGGAUUUCUGUAAUUAUAAACUUUUAAGGGUAUAAAUUGUAAUUUGUCCUUAAAAGUAUGUGAUUUCUGUAAUUUGCCCUUAUUUUAUUUAUUUUCUCAUUUUAAAAGGUGAGACUGCUUACGAAAAAUUAUGACUUUUAGAUAGUGCAAUCAGAAAGCAUAUGAGUGAAUGUUGCAAGAAUGAUGAAACAGAGCUGCAACCAAAUUCAUUUUUACAAAAUGGUGACUCUUCUUUUUCCUCCUAAUUGAUGUUCAUCAUCAGAAAUAAAUGUUAUGUAUAUUGUAACAACAGUCUUUUCAACUUUAGAUUAAUUGAUAAUUGCUCAAUAGAUGAAGUUUAAUAAGAAUAUAUUAAUAUCAGGUAAAUAAUGAAAGAUACUUAACUAUAUUACUCUUAUUAUUUACCAUAGACGUUUCUGUUCACUGCACAUUAACAAAACAAAAACAAGCCUUAAUUUCUAGCUCUAAAUAUAAGCUUAAAGGAUAAAAUGGUAAUUUAACUUUGUACUUUAGAGCUUCCCACUUUUAAUAAUAACUAGUUUUUGAGUACGUGCGUCGUGCGUAUAGCCAAGUGUACCUAUUACUAUAAACUUAUAGUAUAUGACAAUCGUGCUCCACAUAAGUCUUUAGACAUCUUAUUAUAAUGUUUGACUUGUAAAUGUUAAGUAUUUAUAAGAUUUAUGUUUCACUAAAAAGUAUAAAUGAUGGUGGAUAUAGGAAGAAUUCUUAUCAAUUAGUGUUACACAUAUAAUUGUUAGAGUAAGAGUGUUUGUUUGAAAAUUAAAAUAGUUAUCUAAUUUUAUAUGGAUCAUUGAUAAUGAACUUUAUACAUUUAGAUCUCUUUAUUAUUAAUUAAAGAGGCAAUAUACUAAUUCAUGAGAUGAUGAACUAAUUAUAAAUGCAUGUAUAGUCAUUCAACAUAUCUGCCAAAUAUUUUAUAUAUUCAUGUAAAACACAAAUGAUCUGACAUAUAAUAAAAUAUCUAAUCUUUCAUUGAGAUAAUUUUUAAUUUCAUUUGAAAAUAAGGAGUAUAAUAUUGUACAUGUUCCACGCCAAUAAUUAUACAAAGUCUAAAUAAGUAAUAUCUAUUUAAUUGUAAUCUAGACACAAAUUUCUUUAUAUAAGCAGAGAACAUAUUUAACCAAAAUGGAUAAUAAGAAAAGAAUACAUUAUAAAAGAACAUUUAAAACUAAUUCAAAAAUCACUUACAAAUGGUCAUCACUAUAAGCACUUUACAUAAAAUAGUACAACCAAUUCAUUAUUUUGUUGUAAUUCAUACAACAUGAUAAAAAAAAAAGUACCAUUUCCUUCCAAACAUUCUUUACAAUUGAUCAAUCAAUCGAUCAUAACGUCUUUGAUCCAAAUACACCAAUAAUGAUAUCACCCUUAACAGUUCUACAAAGAUUGAUGACAACUUUUCUUCUGUGGUCUAUGACUAUGACCAGAAAGGAAAUCAAACAAGAAGAAAGAAAUGAUAUACCAAAGAUGAGAAAAUGGAUCUUAAUUUAUAAGAGAAUUGACAUUAACAUACUUUAGUAAGAAGAUCACAUAUGAGAUUUGUAAAUUCAUUUCUCUUUCUAGGUGACUUUAAAUAGGAAAACCUUAGGUGAGGGUGAUACAAGGAAAAAAUUAAAAGAGGCUAUCAAUUUCCUACUUAAUUAUAUAACCUUUGUUCUUCACUUGUAAUUCACUGAACAAUAUAAUUAGGAGUCUUUUUGUCUUCUUGAUAAUAAUUACUUAUGACAAUUUAAUAUUAAUUCACGAUACAACAUGAAUAAAUUGUAACCAAAAGAAUUUGAUAAAUUUGAUAUUGCUUAAUGUGUAACUCUCCCUUGUAGUAAUUAAAAUUCACUAUUUAAUAUUUAAUUAACAAUUUAUUAGAUGAUUAAUAAUAUUUGUAUUUGUAUUUGAUAAAGGGACAAAAUGGUAAUCUAACUUUUGUCUAACAUUCUUCACACUUUUAGUAUAGAAUAGAAUGACCAUUAAGAUACAUUUACGGAAAUUUGGUCUACAUAGAACAAUUUUCGCAACUUUUUCAAUUGUCCAUAAUUUGAUCAUCAUGACUAAAUAAAAUUGAUGAUUGAUGCCUAUUCAUUUAAUAUUAAAAAAGUAUCAUAAACCCAAUAAACAACUCUAUAAAAAGUACAGAAAUUUUAUUAUUUAUUUAACUAUAUAUUUUAUUAAUGAUAUUAUUGUAGUAACUCAACUUUAUAGGGUUAUUUUGGUAUUUCAACUUUUAACUUUUUUUGUUUCCACUUAUAGUAAUACUAUUGUUUGGGAAACGAGUGUUGCACGUUUGUCCCAAAAAAUUUCAUAUAAAUUUUGUAUUGCAAAUGACAUAUUUUCUCCGCUUCAAAUUUAUUGGUAUUUACUAUAAACAAUCCACCGUUUUUACAAUAAAAAGUACAUAUAUCUUCCUAAUAAAAAGAAUGCAUCCUUGAUUAUAAAAUUGACUAAAAGUGCAUAAAUUAAAAAUAACUAAUUAUUGUACAAAUACAAUAUUUAAAUAAGUAUACUAAAAUACCACAUGCUAGGUUAAUGUAUACAAAGCAACAAACCACAGUAAAUUCUCAAUAUUACUAAUAACAAUAAAAACUUAUACAAUAAUAGCAAACAAGAAGCAUAAACAUUAAAAAAAACAAAUAAAAAGAGACAAGUGAAGUGCAUAGAGAUUUUCUCUUCUUCUUUUUUUCCAACUAUUUUAAGUGUGUGUACAAUAUUGUGUCAAAUGUCACUAUUUAUAGGAUAAGAUUGAAGAACACUUAGAGUUGUUAUGAAUAUGACAUUAAUCCAUUUGAACAUGGAUAAGAGGUGGGAGUAAAAAACACAAUGAAUAUAAUUAGUGGGAGUUGCAUAUAUUUACAUAAUGAAGAGUUAGAGGUAAUAAAAUCUAUGUAAUGUACUUCACAUUAAUGCAAAUAUUUACAUACAAAAAAGAAUAUACUAUAGAUCUAUAUGAUUUUUCUUCUUUUUGUUAAGGGCAAACAUAACCAUUCAUAUUUCUAAUUGGAAGAUGAAAAAAUAGAAAAAUUCAUGAAUUUAACUCAACAUGAAAUUAAUAAAAAAAAUACAUAUUCAAGAAACUUUAUGGUGGUUGAUUCAUGUACUAAUAUGAUGAUUUACUAUUCAAUAUUUAAUUUAUUAAAUAGUUUAUAACAUUUAAAUUUAAUGUAGUGAUAGAAUUGUAAUCUAACUUUUGCCUAACAUUCUUCCCACUUUUAGUGUAUACUAGUUCCGGGAACGUGUGUUGCCUGUUUGUCCCCUAAUUGACACUAGAAAAAUUAAUUUAUAUAAUCAUAGUGGAGCGUACAUAAAUUCAUCAUUAAGUUCAAAGCUAAGUCCUUUUGUAUGUAAGUUUGAAAUAAGAAUAUAACUCUUCACAAAAUAUAGCAUGGAAAUCUUGUGUCAGAUGUUGGAGGUUUGGUAUUUUCAAUGCUUCAUGAAAAAUAAACCUUUUUAUUAUAUCAGAGGAAUUAAUAUAUUUUAAUUACUAAACGUAAGUUUUAAUAAUCAAAAAAGAAAUUGGCUAUAAAAAGGAUACGUAUAAAGAAAAAUAUUACAAAAUGUCUAGGUUGUGUAACAUCAAAUUUAUAGAAAAAAUUACAAGUUCAAACGGAAAAGAAAGAAAAGUAAAUAAAAACAUGGCAUCCAUAAUAAAAGACAUCACAUUAAAAUAUAUAGACAAAAGUAUUGUCAUAUUGACUGAAUUACAUUUUGUUAGAAGUCGAUAUUGAUUGAAUUACAUGUUGUUAGAAGUUGACUUGCUAUAGAUAAAAUGUUUCCUAUGUAUAAAAAAAACUAAAAUCAUAAAAUAAAAUAAAAAACAGAAAAGAAAGCAAGAAUAUAUAAAAAAUACAGAUACACUAUAUUUCUUGAACUAUAUAUUAAAGGAUCUAUAUAUAAAAAAUUAUGUAUGAAUUCUAAUACAAUAAAAUUUAAUGUAACAUUUAGUCAUAUUUUUACUUUACAUUAAUUUUUAUUUUAUUUUUACUUUUGCACUAAUUCUUGUAUGUAAUAGUUAAGUGCAUGAAUUUUCUAAACAUUUGAGAUUACAUUUAAAAAGGAAAAAAAUACAAAUAUGUUGUUUUAAAAAGAUAAAUGAUUAUCAAAUAACGAAGAUGGCAUAACUAUUAAUGUUUAUCAAAGACUUACUCUUUUACGGGUCUAAUUGUGAAAAUAUUCUAUGGAAUUUAACAUGCUUACCCUCAAAAUAAUUAAUUGUAAAUAUAAAUUAGGAUUAGCUUUAUUAUAUUUCUAUCCUAAAGAAAGAAUACAAAAAUAUAGAACUAAUAUGCAUGAAAUUUUACAAAAAGAAGAUUAAUAUAUGCAUGAAAUUUUAAAGAAUACUAAUAAAAAAAUCAAUAAGAAUUCUUAUAAUUAUAAAUUGGUAAUGAAAUUUUACAACUGAUGAAGACUAACCUAAUAUAGAAUGCAAGAUGAUCACAAACUUGAAUGAAAGAAGGGAAUAUAAAUAAUGUUGUGUGAGUGUCUUUGAUAGACUCUUCAUUAACCCGCAUUUAAUUAGUACAUGAAUAUAUGAUUGCUUUAAGAUCUUAUUUGAUGCAUGAAUUUAUAUAUAACUAUUACUUAAUAUUUAAUUUAUUUUAGGGUAAAAUAAGGGCAAAUGAUAAUCCAACUUUGAGGUUAGGAGCUUCCCACUUAGAAUAAGCAGAUGUACAUUACAGAAGCUAUCAACUAGGCAAUGAUGCAGGAGCUAAGUAUUAAAGUUCAAAAUGUUUGCUGGAAAAAUGAACUCUAUUUGUACAAAUCUUAGUCAUACAAGUAAAUAGUAUUUCCACUCCAAUUUCCGCCACAUGCAAUUUCCCUUGCCAAUCAUGACACUCAAACACAUCUAACACAAGUAGCAUUUCGACGAGGCCCAUGCUGGUGUUUCAAACAUGAAUCUGAAACACUUGAAAUGGUAAAAAGUCAGUUUUGGCACACGUUUCCUCCUUGGAGAAUGGAGAAGCGGAUCAUUGCAAGUAACCACUAAAAAGGGAGAAAGGAAAACCUGUUUAAGAUGAAUAUAUAUACUGCUAAGGACAUUUUAAGAGCCAAUGGGUCACUCUUUGCAAAAAUAUUCAUGACAACUAUCUUUGUUAAAGUCCUUCAUUAGCGGAAGUUUUAAUGAACGGAGAAAUUGUCUUGUGAGGUGAAAGUAACGACAAGUGUGCCAUAUAUUCAUAAAAGUUGUACCGUCUAAAGCAUGAAAAUAAAACCAGAAUUGCAGAAGACAUAAAGAUUAUUCUCUUAUGAAUCUAUUAAGAAACUUAUUUACAUUUCUACCAUAUAUGAGACUUGGUAUUGUUCCUUGAGAGUUAUCAAUUUACUAAGAAAAAGUAAACGAGAUAAUUUGAAAGUAGCAUUUCGGGGAAAAGAAAAACCAUUUCAGAGAAAAAACAUUGAUCUAAAAAGCCAUCAUUUGCAAUCUUUUUAUGGACAGUAGCUAACUUACCUCGAACUUUCAAGCUUCGUGCAACUAGAGUCACCACUGAAGCAAAAUGCUCCAAUCUGUCCCCUGAAUAGUAAACAGGAAAAAGGAAAUAAUAUUGAAGACAGUCAACGGAAACUGAAGAAGCUUCUACUAUCAGUAGAAGUCACAUUUCGGCCCAAAAGGAAAUAUGUCCUGCAUCAAAGCUUAUGCAAGUGGCUUUCUGUGAGAAUUAUUUGAGGUGCAAGUCAUGAAUACCUCAUAAGCAUUAAGCAGAUUUCAGUGGCACCGACCAUCCAUUUCUUCCAUUAUCUCCAUCAUAGCACCUGACUAGAUAUGACAAAUACUGAAAUUCUUCUUAUUUCGUACCAGUUGGGAGAGGGGAUGGUCAAAAUAAUAUUAAAAUUGUUUCAUGAGAGAAAAGGAAUGUAAAAAAGAACUUUACAAACUUGUUAUUGCAUUCCUCUUAACAACUAAAUAAAAAUGCCUAACAUGAUUCAGCCCAUAGAUUUUGACUUGAUAUACCACAACGACCUUCUACGAUGACCUUGUACCUAGUAACCUAUGAGCAGAAUCAUAAAUUUUCAUGAUUAAACUUUUCUUUUAGGAAGGUAAUGUUGUAUUCAUCAGCAUAGACCUCUGAAAAUUGGUUUCCAACAAAUAGAAAGAUAGAAACUAGUAGAUUACAAAGUGCCUGUAAAUUCUAAAUGAAAAUUUACCAAACGUAAUUGCCUGCAACUCAAGGGAUUUGGCUUGAUUUACCACAUCGACGUUCUAGCAUAACCUUUGAACUAGUAACCUAUAAGGAAAAGUCAAACAUAAAUUUCAUGAUUAAAUACUUGAAGAAUAAGAAGAAGAACAAUUCAGUUCAAGUGGACAAGCAGAAUGCUGAAAGCAUAGCACAGAUGCUUUUUUAUGUCAAAAUAAUUUCAGGAAAAAAUAUUAAAUUACUUACAGAACUUCUUUAAAGGAACUCGUGGAAAAUAAUAUUCUAAUUAAAAAUGUGACUCAGAAAGCGAAAGGGAAACCGAGACUUACGUUUUUCCUUAAUUAUCCUCCCACCUACUUUAAUUCUUGGAAUAUGGGAAAUCUUGGACCACUGGGAGUUGAUGCAACUUUCUUCUAACUUUGGGCAGCCUUCAAUUACCAGGUUCCAUAAUUUAGUGAGGCAUUGCAUGGCAUCUCGAGAUGGCAGAUGCUCUAGUUUUUCGCAGUUAUGUAAACAUAAGUCUUCCAAAGAAACAAGGUUGUUGAGCCCAUCCGUCAGAGUUUCUAACAAUGGACAAUCAUAUAUAAACAGUUCCGAUAAUUUGGGCAUGGCAUCUGAGAAGUUCAGAUGUUGUAGCCGUUACACCGCCCUAGCGAUAAUCUUUCAAGAGAAGUAAGGUUGUCAAGUCUGGGAGGAAGAGCUUCAAUUCCAAAAUCAUGUAUAUAGAUCUUUGUUAGGGCAAAGAGUUGCGUAAGCUGAUAGGGCAGAGAAUCCCAGUGCCCACGUCCGUACACCGCCAGUUCACGAAGGGACAACAACUGCUGAAUGCCAUUAAAAAUCAAUUGGAAUGCAUCAAAAUCCACCAUCUCUGAGAAAGGACCAAUUUCCAAUCCCCAUAACUCAGUGAGACCGUGAAGGCCCACUUCGGGUACACUAAUCAAUUUGGGACAUCGUGAUGUUUCCAGAUAUGAAAGUGAAGGCAUUUCCCACACAUGUAAAGGGAAUGAAACCAAGUUGUUACAGCAGCUGACACUCAAAAACUGUUGGAAUUACAGAUGAUGGAAAUCCAUUAGGGAAGAAAGAUAGCAAAGGUUUCAUUAUGAAAGAGAAGGGUGUUUCAGACAUAGUUAUUGCAAAAUUGAAAAGAGCAAAGUAAAAAUGAAGACUGAAGAAACACGUGGCCUCACAUCUGGCACCAAUCCAGAACCUUCCACAAUUUUCUGUUCUUGUGUAAAUAUUAUUUCCAUUUAUGUUUUUAUUAAUCGUAAAAAAUAGUUUGUUAUAAGUUAGCCAAUUGAGAUAGGACACCUGUUAGUCUGUUAGCAUUUUUAUUCCUUGUAUUUCCUAUAUAUACAUUUGCUAUGCAGAAAUAAGAUAUACAAAAAAUUUAGCUCAAUUGUUCUUCGUCUACUCAUUCAAAAACACUAGAGACUGGCAUUGAUCUAGCAUUCCAAUUGGUAAACUGAUCAAUCCAUCACAAUUACAUAACAGCAAUAAUUGGAGGGAAGUCAAAUAGUUGUCUCCAUUGGGAACAGGAAGAGAACUGAAAUUGGUGCAGCUGUCAAUCAUUAAUCUCUUAAGAGAAUGGAGAUUGUACAAGCUUUGUGGCAAUUCACGAAACUCUCCACAGUCGAUGACCGAUAGGUAUUGAAGAGAAACGUUGUUGCGUAGCAUCUCAUCUGGAAGACAAGUGAGCUCUUUCACAUUACUAACAUAAAGAUCCACAAGAGAUGUCAAGUUGCUGCACAAGUUCAACAAUGGCAUUUCACUGUCAACUCCUCUAAUUUCUAAUUGACGGAGGAUUUCAAAUUGAGUUGGAGUACUUUUUAACAGUGGACAGUCUGUAAUCCUCAACUUCUCAAGCCCGGGAGACAUUUUUACUCCAACUUCAUCUCCCUUCCACUCAAUAAGGCUACGCAUAUCCUCCAAUACUAGUUCUUUCAAUGACGGGAACACUUGGAUAAUGCUGCUUGAUCCAAUAUUGCUAAUCUCAACACCAUAUAAAGCAGGUCCAAUGCAUUCCAACUCAUGGAAUCCUACCAGCUCAAGAUGCUGAAGGACUUUCAGUUGGCCAAGGGAUGGAAUUUCUUUGCACCUUUUGCUACCACUUAAUUUCAACUUGACCAAAUUUGGUAGCGACUCUUCACUGAACCAUGAAGGAAAUUUAGUCCCUAAAUAGCCCACUACUGCUAAGGUUUUCAAGUUAGGAUGCGGUUGAAGACCAUCCAACACAUACUCAUCAUUGAUCUCACACCCUUCUGAUUCAUCAUGGGUCCAUAAAUAUGCCAGCUUGCAGAUAUUUGGUUUCUCCUGUAAAUAUGUUGUUCGAGCCUCUUCUUUAUCACAGAUCAAUUGGAGACCAUUGAUCGUCAAUUCACCUCUUAGGUUUUUCAAAUGACCUAAUUCUUCUAUUUGACGACCUUUCUCUAAACCAACCUUGAAAAACUGGAGGGUUUGAAGACUAGUCAAUUGCCCCAUAUUAAGUGGCAUCUGAAAAUGUUCAUUGCGAAUACACCAUCCUCCCCAGUACUGAGUUCUGUCAACAGAAGUGUAAUAUAUGUGUCUCAAACUUAUCAUAUUUCUCAUCUCAUAUGGAAGUUCCUUGAGUGAAAAGCAGUUGAUGACUCUAAAUGUUUGCAAAUUAUAGAGCUCGCAAAUGGAGUUGGGCAAGGCUGUGAUCUUAGUGUCGGAGAGAUCAAGAUAUCUCAAGUAUAUCAGCUUCCCAAUUUUGGCCGACAACUCCCUGAUUCCUGAACUGGACAAAUCUAAAACUCUCAUGAACUUAAAGCUCAACAGUAUAUCUUCCCAUAUAUAAUUGUUUCUCCAAAACAGUGUGCACAAACGUUCUGGCUCAUAUAUCUUAUCUAUUUGAUCCAUUGGUGACUCACAUCCAAAGUAUCGAACUAGAGAAAGUUUUUCUCCAUCGUCGCCCGUCGGAUCAAAUAGUUUAGAUUUUAAGAUAUCUCCAGCCAAAUCAUGCACAAGAUCGUGCAUCUUACAAUGUCUUAUAUUGUUGUGCUCAUGUAACUCAACAUCUUGUAGCAAGGAAUUUUUCAACAAGAUUUGAAAAAACCUGUGCCCAACGUCUUCCAUCACAGUGGUCUCUUGACAUGGAUGGAGAAAGCCUUCUGCCAUCCAGAGUUGGAUAAGUUGUUCCUUUUCAAACUCAAAAUCUUUUGGAAACAUUGCAAAGUAAGCAAAGCAUUUUUUCAGUUGUGGAGAUGGUAGAUAAUCAUAGCUGAGCUUUAGGAUUUUCUUUAUGCUCUUUUCUCCGUUAUCAUUUUCACCUGCAACAAGGGGGUUUCCAUCAAGAAUUGCCUGCCAUUCAUCUUUUUCCUUACUGCGUAAGAGGCCUCCCAUCACACUUGCCGCCAAUGGUAGACCUUGGCACAUUUCAACAAUCCUUUUCUCCAUGCUCACUAUUUCCUCUGGAAUUUUCCCAUCAACAAACGCUCUUUGUUUGAAAAUGGACCAACAAUGAUCUUCUGCUAAUUUUUCCAACAUAUGAGGACCUAGUACUGCUGCUACAGUGGAUGCCACCAAUUCCAUACGAGUAGUCACAAGAAUGAAGUUUCCUCGGGAUGUAUUUAUUCCUCUCAAGGUGUCCACAAACUCAUCCCACAAUGUUGGGUCAACACGCCACAAAUCAUCCAGGACAAUCAAAUACUUUCUUCCUGCCAGUUCAUCUCGGACCUUCUUGACUAUAAUAUCUCUACUCUGGACCUCAAGUUUCCUCUCAGUCAAUGCUUCGAGGAUCAGUUCAAGAAAGCUCUUAAUUUCUGACAUUUCAGGUAGACAUAACCAUACUCUCUUUUCAAAGUGCUUCUCGAUCUGUUCAUCAUUGAAAAUUCUCUUGGCCAAAGUUGUUUUCCCUAAACCCCCCAUACCCACUAUGGGAAUGGUGCACAGAACAACAUCAUCUCUAAUGUUCAACAUCUUCCUCUUUAUUUCAGCAACAUCGUUGUCUCUGCCAACAACAUCAGAAGGAACUACUAUGGAAUCUGUUUCUCGAAUUGGCAGUAUUUUCCGAGGAGGAACCAUGAGUGAUUGGAGACCAAGGUUUUUGGCUACCUUAUUGAUAGCCCUCAACUCCUCAUUAAUGUUGUUGAUUUUUCGAGACAUUUUGUUCUUAAAAGCUGAAUGAGAAAAGAAAUCACUGACCUUUCUCAUUGGAUUGUUUCUGAUCUUCACUUGUCUUUUGAGAGAUUCAUACCUGAAUUUGUCAAACACAUAUUCAGCAUUUUCAGCAGCUCUCUCAAGCCUGUUGAGCCAUAGUUUCACAGCCUGAUCGUCAACUUGUCGUCUUUCGGCAUCAUGAAUGAAAGCUUGGAUCAAGGAUACAUUUUGUGUCAGCAUUUCAAGCUCUUUGUUGCAGUCCCUUGAGCUACUGAAUUCCUCAAUAGUGAGAGAAAGCAAUUUUUCAAGCAAAACUUGAACGGUAGCACCAAUUACAGAAUCGGCCAUCGUUGCGUUUGCUCCUUCACAAAAUCUUCUUCACAAAAAUGUCUUAUUUUGCUAAAUGAAAAGAGAAUAAUUCAUACACAAUGAAUUUGAAUAAAGAUAAUAUAAUUCAUACACACAAUAAUUUGAAUAAAGAAUCACAUUUGGUAGGCCAUUGUUGCAUAUGAGCCACAAAAAGCAAGAUAAUAAUAAUUGAAUCCAAUGGCAUAAAUAUCUCUCCAACAUAAACAUGGAAUCCAAUGUCUUUAAUUUGUAUAACUCUUUCAAAAGAAGAAGUAAUUACGUGUUUCAAAUUUGAAAACAAGUGAUAAUUUUUACAGCAAUAAAGUCACUCAACUUAUUAAAUAACCUACAAAAAGUCAUAUGAUUUUACUUUGUCAUUCAUGUUGACACCCAAUUUUGACCCUCUUUUCUUCUAAUUCAUUAUUUUCGAGCUUCUAAAUUAAUAACGUAUAAAAUUAUCCUUUUUCACAACUAUUUUUACUACUACAACUAUUUAUCUUUAUAAUUAUUAUCUUUGUUGUUACAUUCUAUAGUUACUACUCAAAAUUGUAUAUUUUAUUAUUAAAAUUAUAUUAUCACCUUUUACACUUCUUUUCUUAAAUAAUUGAUUGUCGUCAUUUUGUUUCAAGUUUUGUAUUUAUUAAAUUAAUUAUCAAUUCAUAUUUUUGUAUCUAUCCUAUAUUAGCGUAGAGUUGUAAUAGUGAUACUUUAAUUUUAUAUAUUAUUAAUUGUCAUCUUAUUAUAUUAGUUAUUAAGUAAGAAGCCCAAAAUAAUUUAAUGAAGAAAGGAAGAAGCCAAUAUAUUCAGACCAAACUAACCCAUUUAUUCUAGCACACCUUGGCCCAUCUUUGGCCCAAAUGUUUCAACCAAAUUCAAGUAAGCCUAAUCCUAAACUCAUCAGCCCCCUAAUACGUUUUUCUCCCUUUUCUAUCUUUGAAAAUAUUCAAGUGCAUACCAUGGAAAAUCAGAAUAGUACACGCCAUUUUUGUGAAAAAACUCGUCUCUCUCUUCGUCUCUUGCUGUCAACUCACAUGGGGACCAGCAAUCUAUCCCCUUCUUGGUCAAAGAUAGCCGUUGGACACAAGGAGCCAAACUUUGCUUUAAAGAGAAUCAGAUUUUGUACAGAGAAAAUUGACUCUUCAGAGUUCAAAACUUUGAUUUCAAAUCUCUCUUUGACCUGCGUUUUGGAGCCAUAAAAUAUUAAAAUUUCAAACCCAAUCCAAAACCUAGUCUUCAUCUAUAAAUACAUCCUUAUAUCUUUAGCAAGGGGAGAUUUUUUUUAGCCUCCAUAGAAGCCUUGGCAUUCAUUUUUAAGAAGUUUUUCCAUUGCACCAUAGCAUUGUUUGACUACUAUUUUCUUUUCUAAAAUAUUGUCUUUGCAUCCUUCUUUAAAUCUCGAUCGAAACUCCAGUUUCAAGCUUUGCUUGAGUUCGUUAUUGUUCGAAUAUAGACAUUUGAUCGAAACAGCCCCGUUCACUGCCCUAUAGCAGCAAAAAUGGAGUCCCGAUUAAGGACUCUCGCAAAUUUAGAGUCUCAUGGACUCAACAUCAUCAUACCCGCACAUGAAGUCGAUAUCCUAGACUAUCCAAAUAGCAAGCAAAAUUCAUUUGGAGGGUCGCUUUUACUUAUUACUAUUUAGCAUUUAUUUGUUUUAACUUGCUUGUGUGUUUUGGAUAUGUGCUAAUUUCUUAUUAACUAACUUGAUAUAGUUGUUUGGGUUUGGGUAUAUCUAGUUAGAAACAAACCUUUAUAGUUACUUUAACUUUUAUAAACUUCAUUUGGCAAACUCGUUUUUAAAAAACACUUCUUUUUUUUGCACCAUUUAAACUCACUAGUUUAUUAAGUUUUGUUAAAACUUGGUAGUGCAUUUCAAAAUAAAAAAUGUUCUAUACUCCUAUUUUUCUAAAAAAACUUUUUCUAAAAGAAGCAUUUUGUCAAUCAUUGAGCUAAUGUCUUUUUUUUAAUUACUUUUUUUUAGCCAUGGAUUUGUCUAAAUUGAUCUAAAGAAAUUAAUCUUUCUUAAAUCUUUUUCAUUCUAAUAAAUUGCAAAAGCGCUUUAAAAAAUAAAAAAUGUUUUCCAACUUGGUUAUUCAAUCACUUAAUAUUUAACACUCUUAUCUUUCUCUUAAAAUUAAUUAACCUAAGUUUGGUCGGUAAUCGUAUUUUUUAACGAAUCUUAAAGGAUGCCUUAUCCCUUCCCUUUAGGAUAAUUAGAACCCUUACCUAGAAUCUUAAGUUUAGUAGACCAUUUGAUUGAAGUCACUUUAAUAUUACUUUGUUAAAUGUUUCGGUGUCCUAAUUCACCAUAACUAAUUAGGUGGCGACUUCUUAAGUUAGUUAAUAAUUUGGAAAUCACCAAUAUGUUGUACACGUUUUGACCUCGAGUUAAAAUGCGGUUUAACAAUUCACACCGUAGUUGCCUUGGGACAAACUCUCCAAUUACUUUACCAUCCCAACUGUAUGGCCUACCAUGUGUCUUAUUUUUGCUUAUGCUGCUUCCACUUCUUUGAUGCCUAGUGAGAUAUCCCAAUUCCUAGCCCCUUUAUCAAAGCCUACAUCCAACAUAUUAUCUUCCUCAUCCUCAUAAAAUAAUCACCGCCCAUAUCAUAAGCAUUAGUGGGGCUAAAUCCGGAUGCUAAGGGCCUCUGAUUCAUUCUUCUUUGUAAUCACACUUUUAGGCACAAAUUCUAAAGCUUGUGGACUUCAUUUGCUAUUCAAAAGAGAAGGUGAAACUUGCUCUUCUUCGUCAACUAAAUCAUCCCACCUAGGAGCAUUCCCAAGACCUAACUAUUAUUAGUUGACUCAAAAAAUAAAAAAAUCAUUGUUUUGUGCCCUGUGUGUAUAAGAAUUUGCAGGAUUAAUGAGUUGAAAUUAAUUUUUGGGUACAUGACUUGGACAUUACUGCUCACUAUGCUUAACAAUUUAUCUAACAAAUAUCAACUUCUCCACAAGUCCUAUGUGAUCGGCUCGGCCCGACUCAAAAGAUAUUGAGGGGUGAUCAAUCCCAGAUAAUCUGUGUGCAUAGUCACCCUCUAAACCAAUUGAGCCUCCUUAUAUGUUAGCUGUGUUUUAAGAUCUAAAACAUUAUUUUCUUUUCAGGAUAACACUCUUUCUUCUUUAAUUUUCCGAGUAAUUUUUCUUUUUUAAAAUUAUAUUGUAAUUUAGCUUUUGAUAUUUUUGGUUGCAAAAUAUAACUCUUCAAAUAAAAAGGUAAAUUGUAUUUUGGAGAGUUUUUAUACAUAUAUAUAAGAAUAUAUAAUAGUCAACUGAAAAUGUUUUAAUAUUUUAUAUACUUUUUUAGUGUUCAAAAUUGAUAAUAAUCUCUCAUUAGGUCUACGCAUCGAGUUGAUGGAGCCUAAUUCAAAUAGACUAUUUUAAUAUACUUUUUUUUUUUUUUGUGUUUUGUGUAGUCUUAGCAAAAGUUUAAAAUUAUGCAAACUGAUUAGGUAAAAAAUAUAAGUAAUAAAUAUUAGUAGUAGUAUAACUUGAAUUUAACUGCAAUUAAAUCAUGCAAAUUUAUGGUUUAAAUGAGAGCUCAAAUUAAGUUAUGAUUACUAAAUAUUGAACAUAAAAAUGAACUUUUACAUCCAAAAUAUACUAAUACUAAUAAAUUCAUAAGUAUUCUACUAAAUUAUAUUUUAUUAAGUUUAGACUUAUCCAAUUUAAAAAAUUUAUUAUCACAACACCUGUUAAAGGGUCCUGAAUUUUUAAUUAGAGUUUUCGAGUUCAAAGCUUAGGAAUUGAGAAGUUACUGAUAGGAAAUGUUUUCGGGACAAUUUCCUAAACAAUUAUAGUUUGGAGCAUAAUUAUUAUUAGUAGCUAUAAUUUGCUUAUUUAUCAUUUGUAGCUAUUUUUGGUUUAGCAGUUGUAUUUGUUCGCUUAGUAGAUCCAAGAUAGUUACAAUUGCUACCUGCGUGUAUCAGUUGUAUCUUUCCUCUCUAAUGUUGUAUCACUUGUAUUAUUUCGUUCUAUUGUAUUAAUUAUUAUCAGCUUGUAUCACUUGUAUCCAUUUGUAGUACUGUAUUAAUUAUAUCAGUUUGUAUCACUUGUAUUUAUUUGAUUUAGUUUCAGUUAUAUUCAUUCACUCUAUCAUUUCAAUUGUUAACAAUUUGUAUCAAUUGUAAUUAUUCGCUCUAAUAUCUCUUGUAUUCAUUCAUAGCUAUUGUUCAAUUGUUACCAACUUGUAUAGGUUGUAUACGCUCACUUAGUUUCGCUAUAUCAAGGCAUACAAUCACAAUAAAUUAUAUGCAUUCGAUCAAUAUAUAUAUAUUCUCUCUCAUAAAACAAAAAUACAGUGAAGAUACAUACAACAUACACUUGUGCGUCACUAUAUUUCGUUGUAUGACACUUGUAUUUUAUGAGAUUUCAUUGUGAUACACUGAAAUACAAUGAUAGAUGUAGUUAUUGUGUCCCAUAAAUGUACGUGACUCCAUAAGAAAGUAGGGAAGAAAAGUUGACGUUUUCCGAUCAGAAGGUCACCAUGACAAUACACUUGUAUCAACGGUAGAAAAAAUAUCUUUGAAAAUAUACAUCUACUCUCAAUUUCAAACGUUAUUUAAAAUUUCAGAUCGGAUACAUUUUACAGAUAUAUUCUUUACUAAUGACGAUGAUUUUGCAACAUAGAGAAACUUUACACUUUUAUAUAAGAGAAAAAAAAAGACAAUCAACCCACAAAAAAAGAAUUGGGGAUGAGCUCCCUAAUCAUUUUUCAGUGACCGGUUUGCUUUCUCAGCCGAUGAUUUUUCAUUAUAGCACCACUAUCCUCCUGUGUCCUAAUUCCUAGCCCACCCGUGUUCCGUCCAACUUAACGUAUCAUCAUUAAUAUUAUCUUGGGAAUGAGACUUUCAUCGAGAAAUCACAAUUUGCUAUAAAAUUUCAAGUAUAAUGAGUAAAAUAGUUUUCUAAGCCACAUAAUUUUUUCAAUAUUAUAUUUUAUCCCAAUGUCAUAUUAGUCAAACCAAUAACUUCAUGUGUAUAAGCCACGUGUGAAUUUCCCUAAUAACCAAAUAGAAAUAGAGUAAAAAAAUGUCUUGAAGAGUCAACAAUGGUUAGAUAUAUACAAUACAAAAUGUACAUACACUGUAAUAGAGAGCCAUUGGAUUGAGCAAUCACAAAAUCUUCUUUGGUAGAUUCAACAUCUGCUUCUUCACCAUUUUUUGGGUAAAUCUUUUUCUCAGUCAAACUUCCAAGAAUCUGAUUUACUUUUGUUGACUCUCAUAAUCUUGAUUUUUCUGAUUUCAUAAGUUUACAAUUUGGGGGUUUUGGUUCUUGACUAUCUGAUCUGAAAAAGAUUCAAUCUUUUUACUUUUUUGGACUUCUUGAAGUACCCCUUUUGAUUCAAAUUGAAUUUGGGUUUUUGGGUUGGCGUUGGAUUGAGCUUUAGAUUGGAGUUUUUUGGGGAUGUAAUGGAAGAAAACGCAGCAGCUUUUCAUACUGCUUUAAAUGCGGCGCAGGCGUUAGGAAGGGGUUUUGAUGUGAAUUAUGAUACAAGAUUGCUUUACUGUAAAGGGGUGGCUGGGUCUAGGGUUGUAGAGAUUGAUGAAGACCAUACAAGGGAUCUUUCUUUAUAUGAUAACCUAGUCUUGCCUAAUGUUUCAAGGGAUAUUAAGAACUUUCAGGAGCCCGGCGGUCGUGAUGGCUCUAGUGUUUGCAAUUAUAAUGAGGUAUGUCUGCUCUAGUUCACUGUUUUAGGGUGCUCUGUGUUUGAUUUGUUAAAUUAUAGAAUUGUUGAUUGUAUUGUUUUAUGUCAAUCUAGUGAUGCUUUCUACAAGUAUCAGGAUGUUUUUUAUAGCCGUGUAAUCCCCGAGGAUGUAGUUUGUGUUCUGUUACUAUAUGCUGUUUUUGUCUGUAGCUGGAUUGCUUCUAUCGGAAAGAACCUCUCUACUCUUGAGAGGUAGGGGUAAGGUCUGCGUACACUAUACUCUCACCAGACCCCACUUUGUGGAUUCCACUGGGUAUGGUGUGUUAUUGUUGUUGUGUAAUCCCUGAGGACCAGUUGGCACACGGUUUGAAGCUCGGUUGAUACCUUCUACCGUUCUUUACCUAAGUACCAAACAUUUGUCCUAGGUUCUCUAACUUGUGAUGUAUGUCUAACUCACACAUUAUAUGUGGGCUCAUGCCACUGAAUAAAAGCCCUGCAAGUAUCCGGAUGCUGGCUUAAGUUUUUGACAUUCUUAGUAAUAACUAUGUAUAUAAGUGCUAAUGAAAAUAAAAGGCAGGAAGGCACUCAAGGGUAUGGUCUUGUGGUCAAUGAAGUAAGUGGAGCACAGUGACGAAGCUAGAAAUUUUACGAAGGGUGUCCAAGUAUUACAUAAGCAAAAAAAAUUUCGAUGAAUGGAUGCAUUGAAAAAAUUAAAAUUGAACUACGUAAUAUUAAUAUUACUUUUUUUUACGAAUAAAUGUUCCAGAAUUUAAAAAUUCAAACUGCAUAAUAUUUGUGUUUAAUUUAAUAUAAAGGAAACAAACAAAGCAAAAAAAAAAAGGAGGGGGUGGGGGGAUUAAGCUUAAAAUGAAAUCAUUUUUAUUGUUUCAAGCUUUGAUUAAUCUAUGGUGAUGACAACAAUAACAGGACAUGAAUAAUGGAAGCAGAAUCAAACGAGGUGUUUGUUUGUUCGCUUUUAGCAGCUUUAUAGAAAUAGUUUAGAAUUUGUUUAUUAACUUUAAAUUAAAUAAUUACAUUUAAGUUUUAUUUCAAAUUUUAAUGAAAAGAAAUAAAAAGUCAAAUUCAUCGAAAAUUCAAUUAGCUACUAAACCUAGAUUUCUAAUUAAGAAUGUAAUUUAAUUAGCUUAGACAAUUAAAGAAACAAGUUAAUAACUUAGAAUAAUAAUAAAAUAGGAGUGUUCUAUUAAAAACGAUUAUGAAAUGCAGUUGUGGGGAUUCAAACCCACGCCUAGAGUGUGAGCAAGAGAGCCUCACACCGCUGGGCCGUAGCAUCUUGAUGUAUUUAGGAGGGCCAAUGUACUAGAUUUAACCGUUGCAAGUAGUAUUUUACUUAUAUAUACAGUAUAAUUUUUCGGCGAAGGGUGUCCAAUUUGACACAUUCGGGACACUGUAGCUCCGCCACUGGUGGAGCACCAUGAGAUCUCAGGUUCAAAUCCCAGUAGAGACAAAAAUGCUAGGUGAUUUUUUCUCAUUUCUUCUAGCCUUGGGUUACAGUAGCUUAUAAGACUACAAAAAUGAAGGCUAAGUUAGCGUUUACAAUAUCAAAGACGACAACUUUUGAACGACUGUAUGUUGAACUAGGGGACAAAUGUGGAGAUAAGAAAUUGUACAUGUUCGCAAAGGCAAGAGAGAUGAAGGCUAGAGACCUGGAUCAUGUGAAGUGCAUCAAGGAUAGGAAGACAAGUUGUUAGUCGAGGAGACCCUCAAUUAGCGAAGAUGGCAAGCUUACUUCCACGAAUUAUUGAAUUAAGUAGGGGACAAAGACACUGUGUUGGGAGAUUCGGAGUACUCCAAGAUUCGAGAUUUUGGGUAUUGUAGGUGUAUUAUGGUUGAGGAGGUUAAGAGUGCUAUUAAUAAGAUGAGCAAGGGAAGAGCAACCGGACGAAAUGAGAUCCCGAUAGAAUUUUGAAAGAGUGCAGAUAGGGUGGGUAUGGAGUGGUUAACUGGUUUGGUUAAUGUCAUUUUUACAACAGUUAAAAUACCCGAAAAUGGAGGUGGAGUAAAAUGGUUAUGUUGUACAAGAACAAGGGUGAUAUCCAAAACUCCAACAAUUACAGGGGUAUCAAGCUGCUAAGCCACACAAUGAAAGUUUGGGAGAGAGUAGUGAAAGUGAGUGUAAGUAGAGGUGUGUCCAUCUCCGAGAACUAGUUCGAAUUCAUGACUUGACGAUCGACUAAAAAAGCCAUCCAUCUUGUGAGGAGACUGGUAGAGAAAUAUCGAGAAAAUAAGAGGGACUUACAUAUGGUGUUCAUUGACCUUGAAAAGGCUUACUACAAAGUCUUGAGGGAAGUCCUUUGGCGAUGCCGGGAGGUUAGAGGUGUACCAAUAGCUUACAUAUAAAGUACACGUAUGAUGAAGCCAAAACUCGGGUGAGAAUGUUGGGAGGAGAUCGGACCAGCUGAGAUGGGGUUGCACUAGGGAUUAGUUCUUAGCCCGUUCCUGUUUGCCUUAGUGGUGGAUAAAUUGAUGCGGUAUAUUCAAGACGAGGUGCCUCGGUGUAUGUUAUAUGUGGAUGACAUUAUACUGAUAGAUGAGACAUGUAGUGGAGUUAAUGCUAGGUUGGAAAGGGGAAAACAAACUCUAGAGUCUAAAGGGUUCAGGUUGAGCAGGACCAAAACAGAGUAUUUGGAGUGCAAAUUCAGUGAUGCCAUCCAUGAGGCAAGCAUGUUUUGGAGUGCAAAACAGAGUAGUUCAGACUGAUGUCUUCCAUGUCUUUGUUCAUCCGUGUUCUUGAAAAGGAUCUUCAUGAAUUUAUGUUCUCUAAUGCUUGUGCAAGUUUCUCUACAUUUGGUUAAUCUUUUCUUUUCCUAAUUUUAUUUAAUAAAUAGUUUUCUUUUAUUACUUAUUCUAGUGCUGCUUUUGACUGCAGAUGGUGGAAUAUUUUAACAGAAAGGCUAGUAUUCCAGGCCAUGCUCCUCUUGGUAGCUUUAAUGUAGCGUUCAGUUUCACUGGUGCAAAGCAUUUUGAUGCUACCACUACAAAGACACUUUGUAUGGAUGGAUAUUUCAUACCACUUGCUAGGCUUCAACUUAUGAACUCACCGUUAGUAUUACAGGAAAGUGUUAAAAGAGCUGUCCCAGCAUCAUGGGACCCACCCGCAUUAGCAAGGUUAGAAUUUUUCAUUAGUUUUCUUUCGACAAGGGAAAUUUGCUUAUAUAGUUGACAUGUUAAUUAAGUUUUAGAACCUCUAUUGUUCGCUAACAAGGGUUGCUUGUCUCUUACAGCUUCAUUGAAAAUUUUGGGACUCACAUAAUUACAUCUGUAACUAUUGGUGGUAAAGAUGUAAUUUAUGUUAAACAGCACCUUUCAUCACCUCUUUCCACAAUGGAAAUAAAAAGUUAUGUUCAUGAUAUUGGAAAUCAGAGGUUCUCCAGCACAGAAAACCUUACAAGUUCAGGUUUAUUGAAAUACAAGGACAAGGCUAGUUCCGUUAUUUUCUUUGUUUUCAAACUUUAUAUUUUAUUCCUUUAUUUUGUCUGUUAUUUUUACGAAAACCGUUGUUUUAGACUGUUUCCUUUCAAAUAAAUGCUUGUCUUUUGUCUUCUGAUGUCUUCUUUAUCCACAAAUUUCCCAAUCCCUUUCCUCAAUUUAAUUGUGCAGUCUAGCGAUCCGUCAAUAUUCAAUAGCCAAGGGAUAUUUCCCCAGCCCAGUAAUGCUCCAUAUAUUGCUGGAAACGGCAAAGAGGUUUGUGGCAUUUCUUUUCUUUUCUUCUGGUUUUUAUUGCUUUUUGAAUAGGUGCAACAGUUAUGUGUGAUCUUUUCUACUACUGAUGGGUCAUUCUCAAGAGAUAUGUCAUAGAACCUAACAUUUGAAUGUCAAGAAGGAAGGACCCUUGUUCCUCUUAAUAAUUGAUUUUUCAUGUAAUUGUUUUUGUCAUGUUAUAGUACCACAAACUUUUAGAUAUUGCGUCCAACUCCAUUUAUGUAGAGGACAUCAUGUUUUUGGAGUUCGUUAACUACCAAGAUGCUUGAGAGUUAUGAAAUAAUAAUAUGUUCUAUACAAUUCCAAAGUUUUAACAGUUCAAAUUCAUUUACAAUUGCUUUUUCAGUCAAAAUUACUUGUAAAAGACAAUUUUAGUUUUUACAUCUUUCUGUUACCAAAUUUGUAAAUCAAAUUAGUUCUUAAUCUGUGGACCCAUCAAAUUGUGUCAAGAUAUUAGUAUUAUGUUCUCCAAUAUGAUUUCUUGCCAUAGGUGUACCUUGGUCAGUUGACAUGCAAAAUCAUAAUUUACGGUUUAUUCCUGAAGGUUGUAUUUGUUCAAAAGCUACCACAUGUAUACUGAUAUGCUGCCUUGACCAGCCAAUCGUCUGAUCUAUCACGAUUCUCCUCUCUCUCUUCACGGAGAAGCAAUUGCUAUCCCUUGCUUUGCUUUCAAAUUCCAAUCCAUUUGAUGUCCGUCACCCUGGCCCUCCUCCUUCCUCCAUUUAGCUGCAACGACCGCAGACGUAGGAAGCAGUUCCUCUAUGGCAAAUUGGAAAUGUCGAAGUAGGCUGUGACUUAUAAAUAGGAAGAUUAGGCGUUAGCGGACCAACUUGACAGGACCCUCCUUUGCUCUAUCUAACUUGGCGUGCGCCCCUUCCGGCCGUGUGAGAACAUAAUCGGACAAGCGCACUACUCAUAUCGGUACUAGAAGCUCUCAGUCAUCAUCCUGCUGUCACUCCACACCUAAAAUCCAUAAAACAUCAUACUGACCAGCAUUUUUUCAGGACUGUGAUGAUGGAAAAAUCCUAUUUACAUACUUCAUCGUGUUGCCAUAUUGGAAGUAGCAGAUUUGUUGAAUUGGAACCUUUUAUGUAACCAGUUCCAUUGCUCAUUAUUUUCUUGAUUUUUGGUUUUCCAUUUCUGUUGCACGAAUUUUCUAAACAAGAAUUUUCUUCACUGGGGAAGUGACCCAUAUAUUUGUCCUAUGGAGUGCAUCUGUCUUCCAUUAUUACAUCAAAACACAAUGUAAAGUAUUUAAGUGUCAAUACUAGGUCUUAUUAGUGUUAAAUUUCUUCACAUUAGGUUUGUUGCUAAGUUUUGGUAUCGUUUUUUUUUUUUUGGUUAAAGCAGAUUCAUGAUUUUAUUUUGUAAGACCGACCAAUUUCUUGAUUGCUCUUAAACAUCUAUAAAACUUGAUUUUUCUGAUCUCUUGCCAGUAAUGACAGACAGUGGUGUGAAUCUGGUUCUUUCCUUUCAAUGUAUUUGAUGCAGGAUGUCACGGUCAUUUUUAGAAGAAGAGGAGGAGAUGAUCUGGAACAAAGCCACAGCCAAUGGGCAAAAACUGUCAGAUCUUCUCCAGAUGUCAUUGAGAUGUCAUUCUACCCUAUAACUCUUCUAAUUGAAGGAAUCAAAGGCAAGGAGCAUUUGGAGCGUGCUGUAAGUCUUUAUCUCGAAUGUAAGUUAUCUUGGUUAUUGUAAAAAGUUAUAUUCUUUAUCAAAGUUUUGACAUUUCUUUGAUUCAAAAUGUCGACAAAUGACUCUAGUUUUAUGAUUGCUUGCAGACAAGCCUCAAAUUGAAGAGCUGAGAUAUUUCCUAGAGUUUCAGGUCCCAAGGGUAUGGGCCCCUGUACAGGACAGAUUUCCAGGCCAACAACGGAAGGAACCUGUUUGCCCGCAUCUGCAGUUCAGCAUGAUGGGACAAAAGCUCUAUGUUAGCCAAGAACAAGUAUGCCGAUUUCUGAAUUUGGAAAUAGAGUUUUUGUCAAAUAUUAAUUUAAUUUAUACUGAUGGAGAAAAUGAUAAGUUUUGUCCUGUAAGUUUGUCAGACCUAAGCUUACCUCUCCAGGCACCAACAAAGCUAUCAAUCAUUAAUCAAUGUUAGUCCUAGUGUUACAACCUAAGGGUCCAUUAAGGUUGCUUCAUUUUUAGUCGAUUUAAUUCAGUGUGAUACCUAUUACUGAUUUUCUUAUUCCAUUUAGAUUAAAAGAACUGUAAUUUAUGAUAUAAGCUUAGAAUAAUUUUGAAGCCAGGACUAGAACAUAAUGAAAGUCAAUACAUUUUUAGCUACUAAUGUUUCCCUCACUUUGGACUGAUUUUGCUAGUGCAAACCUAUAUGUAUCUUCAUCUGAUAGACUUAUUGUAAUGCAUCCCUGGCCCUCUUAUCCCAUUUACUAAAUUAUCAAUGUUCUGAGCCAGUUUUGUUUCACUACAGGUGUCAGUGGGGCGUAAGCCUGUGACUGGCAUGCGGCUAACUCUUGAAGGUUCCAAGUCAAAUCGAUUAUGCAUCUAUCUUCAACAUCUGACUAAUCUUCCAAAGAUCCUUCUGCCAUGUUGGGACACUCAUGUAGCAAUUGGCGCUCCAAAGUGGCAGGGCCCUGAAGAGCAAGAUAGUAGGUGGUUUGAGCCAGUGAAAUGGAAGAACUUUUCGCAUGUUAGUACUGCACCAAUUGAGUGUCCUGAAACUUUUAUAGGUGAUGAUCACUCUGGUGUGUACAUAGUGACAGGAGCACAGCUUGGGGUCUGGGACUUUGGAUCAAGAAAUGUGUUGUAUAUGAAGCUUCUGUAUUCAAGGCUACCAGGAUGCACUAUACGAAGAUCACUGUGGGACCAUACCCCGAAUGAUAAGUUGAACAAAAAGGUCAAUUGUGAGAACAACAUUGGCGAUGCAAGUUCUGUUAUAGGGGAGAAUAUUAUAGGCAAUAAGUUGGCAAAGUUUGUUGACAUGACUGAGAUGAGUAAGGGGCCUCAAGAUCCUCCUGGCCACUGGUUAGUAACAGGUGGAAAACUUGGUGUCGAAAAGGGGAGAAUUGUUUUGAGAUUGAAGUAUUCCUUGUUAAAUUAUUAGUUGAUACUGCUUCUGAACACAUGCUGCAUUUUGUUCCACAAGGAAGUAGUAAUGGUGUUUUGGUGUAUAUGGUUCGGGUUUUCUUCUUGUUGUGCAUGUUUACCAUCAUUGUUUGAUGGUAGAGUUCCCUUCGGAGAAGAAUGUAUACCUUAGGUAGUUAUGAUGUGUAAAUUUCUUCAAAUUUUGACAACAAUUGUAUGUUUUCAUCUUGUGUAGUAAUAUGUAGGAAAUGCUACUUCCAACUAAUAAGAGAAACAAUUCAAGAACUGCAGUCAAGUAAAAUCACCAGCAGAGCUACAUCCUAUAAAUCAAUAUAUGGAACUUCUCUAUCAGUAGUUGCGCUAAUUCUUAUUUUUCCAACGCUAAAGUUCUCAUGUCUAUGGCCAUAUGUAAGCUGGAAAGUUGAGUGUAUGAAUUGCACUUGUAUUUACAUUUUGAUCAGUACAUAGCUCCGAUAAUAAAUAUGUCAAAUUCAUCUGAAUAGACUCUUUUAGGUUUGUUUCAAAGAUUGUUCUCUAUGCUCUCAUUAUCUAAUGUAUCUGUGAUCUCAUCAACCACAAGUUUUUCUAAUCGAGUCACGAGACAGUUGGUUGAUUCACUCAGUUCUUGGUUUUCUUGUCGCAGAUUUUCAAUUUCAUCCAUUAGUUUCUUGUUCUGCUCUUCAAACUUUAGACUCGAUAAUAGUUGGUUUUUCAGAUUCUUGUUCUCUCUUGUCAAGUCACCAAUUUUUUUCUUUAGAUGAACUAUCUGCUCUUCUAGAGUCUGGCUUUUCUUCUGCAGAUCAUCCUCCCAAUCGUCCUGCGUAAACAGACGUUAACAUCUCAUGCAUUUAGUCAUAUUCAAAAAAACCAAAUAUAUAAGCAAGAAAGAUAAAAGAUUGUCAAGCUCACAUCACUACUGAUUAAUAUAGCCACAUUUGCUCCUGAAGUUUGUGAACGGUCUGUGAGUUCUUUUUCUUUAUCCAAAUAGUGGCAUGCAGAAGAUCCUGAUACAGUUUCACGCAAACUAACUGCAUCAGAAGAAAGAUUUUGCAUUCCGUAUGCUGGUCUGUUACUUUCGCUCUCUGAUUCAGCUUCCAGGUCAACGAUCAAAUGAACCAUCGACUGAUAUCCACUUGUCACAGUAUGGUCCUAUUAAUUGAAAAGAGUUGAUCUACAAAAAGUUAACUAAACUGGCAAAGAAUGGACCACUAUUGUAACUUAUUUGGUUAAAAGAGCUUGAAGCUCAAAAAUAUAUGGCAAAAGAGGAAGGAAGACUUACAAUAUGAGGCGGAGUAUCCACUGAAGAUCGUGUGUUCAGGUCAGGCCAUGUUCUCUUUUCUGCCACUAUCAACUCUUUGAUUAUGUCACUAUUGGACUCAUCAGAAGUUAGUUCAAGGCUCCAAACUAUCUGCAGAGAGAACGAGAGUAACUAGAAGUCAAUUUUCCAAAGCAUAAUACAAUUCUUUAUGCUUCCGGAAUCACUGUUUGAUAUUGAUGAGAAUACAAACCUGAAUGUGUUUGAGAAGCUAUGAAUGGAAGAUGAGAAGACAACAAAAGAAGGAAAAUGUACAUAUACAAGGAAAGGGAAAGAGAGAAAAACAACACUGAAGAAGAAAAUAUUAGAAAGCCUCAACUUCAUAUUCCUAACUUUUCUUUCAUUUACUGCUGUGAGCUGUCUGUGAACCCAAGCAACACGAAAAGUAGACCAGAGGGUCUGUUUAAUUUUUCUCUCUUUCUUGCAUUCGGAAUUAUAGCCAAGUAGGCAUACGCUCAAAAGAAUGAUUCAUUUUGCUAAUAUAUCAAUUCCAAAAUAACCAAGGAAAGUUCUAUGGUUCAUCAAGACUUCCCAAGAUAACAAAGACACAAUUUUCUCAUGACCGAAAAAGACAGAAAGUAAAUUCAGAUCAGACAAAGUGGAACAGAAACUGUUGUAAAUUUUAUUACCUGAUUAGUCUCUAGUUCUUUGAAUUUUGUUGUGAACCAUUGUCUAUGAUGAGAUUUAGUACUUUCCCAAUUGCAGAUACGGGGAAGCGUAGAGCAGUAGUUCAGUAAACGUGGACGAGCAAUGUCAAUGUGUUCAUAGCACCAUAUCUAUUCAAAUAACAGUAAAGACUUGUUUGGAGUUAAUAGAGUGGAUACAAUGUAUCAUUUGUCAUAAAUACUUGUCGUCAAAAGAGUUGUUACAUAGGUACCACACAAAUUAGUUGAGGUUAUUAAAACAAAGAUUAGAGAUUGUUAAACUUACUUGAAGAAAAAUAAGACAACCUCCAACAUAUUGUAAUUUUUCCUUCUUUCUCCUGCACAACCAGUGAAAUACAUCUGCAAGAACAGCUGCUCCCCAAGCAAAACUGUUCACUUUAUCAAUAUCUCGGAGAAGAUAUACAUAGCGAGAAUCAAUUUUGCCAUUUGUAUUUGGAAACAGAAAAGUUCCAAACAUGUAUAACAAGAAAGACCUCACAAAAUCUUCAUUGUUGGUCUCAGCAAGGGAAUCAAGUCUUUGUUCUAAUGAUGCAACCGUGAUUUUUCUAUUCCACAGGGCAACAUUAUAUUCUCUUUCUAGAUCUAAGAAAGGUGUAUCUUCUCGUAAAAGAACAGGACUUCCUGUCACUCGUAAUCCCAAAAUUAAUGCAACAUCCAGGAGAGAUAUGGUUAUCUCACCUGGAGGAAGUACAAAAGCAUGUUUCUCAUAAUCCCAUCUUUCCAUCAAUUCAACUAAUAGGUUUUUGGAAAGCAUUUGAGUUUGAAUGAGGAGCAAAUUUCCAAAUCCAGUCCUACUUAUGGAAUCCUUUUGACUAUCUGUCAACUUCUUAACACGUUUUAGAAAGGAUGGCAAAGAGAAUCUAGUACUGAAGUUUCCAACCUGAAAACAAUACAAUAUUUUUGAAACUCUGUAGAAAUGUGCUCAAUUAUCUUUCACAUUGAUGUACACAAACUAAUUGAACGGCUGAAAGACACUGUUAUGAAUCGUAAAAAAGUUGGCCACAGUUAGAGUUGCAUUACGAAUAUUCAGUAACCUGAUAGGUCUAUUAUUGUUUAAGCGCAUAGCCAGGGGAAUAGACCUAAGAUUCAUGAACAUUCUAAAGAAAUGAAAAAAUCAUAAAUUAAAGAAGCUCCAAUUCAAUCCCUUUUGUUUUUAUAACCAUGGUGUUCGUCCUUAGCUCAUGUGCACCUCAACUAAUUUCACCGGAUAUAGUAACUCUGUCAAAGCUUAGCCAAAUGAGAAAAAAUCACCUAGUGCUUUUGCAUCUCUUUGAACUUGAAACCUUAUGGUUCUCAAUGCACUUCAUGGAUCACUAGACCGCAUCCUUGAGUGCAGCUCCAACUCAAGCUCUCGAAAACCAGAAAGUCCAGAUAAGCUGGCAUUUCCUUAGUAAGAUAGGGAUUAGGGUGUGUUUGGUAUGGAGGAAAAUAUUGUUCAAAAAAUGUUUUUCAAUUUUCCCAUGUUCGGCUGGCCAAAAUGUUUGGAAAAUAUUUUCUCUAGGAAAACAAGUUCCUUAAAAAUGAGAAAAAUGACUUCCCUAAUGGGAAUAGGGAAAACAAGUUGCAUAAGUGACAUCCCAAGUUAUGGUCUCAUCCCCGCCCACCCAAUCCCCCUCAACCCUCACCCGUAGACCAUCACCCCCACCCCACCCCCUCACCCCAACUCCCCUUCACAUCCCGACACCAUAGUGUUUUGCUAUAUAACAUAUAAAUGCUCUUGAGAUAAUAUUUUCUUGCUUACUUACCAAACAUUAGAAAAUAAGUAAGAAACCCACUUGUUUUCCAAGAAAACAUUUUCUAAAAACUCAUUUUCCGUGGGAAACAUUUUCCUUCCUACCAAACACACCCAUUUUUUCUUCUUUUUUGUCCGAUUGAGAAAAAUUCCUUAUAUUUGGCUAUCUUAUCUCCAAGUAAAACUGGAAAAAUGACUUCGUUCACUCAUGGGUAGAAAUAUAUCCAAACUCUGACUCUAUAUCACUUACUUUCAAACAAUAUUUACACAUCAAUAUCAAUCCCUAAUAUCCGAAAAAUGUGUCAGAGUCUAUCUCAUGCCUUAUUUUACACAGUGUACUAUUAUCAGAUGUCACAAACCUAUAUACCUUUCUUUAAAAU
Molecule: long non-coding RNA, 54573 nt
Filed under: Solanum tuberosum (potato)
Lineage: Eukaryota; Viridiplantae; Streptophyta; Magnoliopsida; Solanales; Solanaceae
Description: long non-coding RNA (STUB_LNC010221)
Rfam family: MIR1886 microRNA precursor family (bases 17761-17812)
Source: RNAcentral